RNAcentral lists this long non-coding RNA (57176 nucleotides) under Durio zibethinus. RNAcentral describes it as "long non-coding RNA (DZIB_LNC001117)". Lineage: Eukaryota; Viridiplantae; Streptophyta; Magnoliopsida; Malvales; Malvaceae. The record is from RNAcentral.
CUCAUUCACUCACUUACUUGAUCACCCCUACCAUCCACUAUCUUUAUUAGAAUUUAAAGACCAUUUUCAAUGAUCCUCUAAACUUCAUAAUCAUUGGCUUGAAUAAAUAACCUCAUCCUAGUAUUCUAAUAAAAAUAGUUAUCAUCAACAAAGAGAAUAGAUUUUACAAUUGAAUGGCCUUCACUUUUAAGAGAUAUAGUAACUAUUUCAUUUAUCAUGAGACACAUUUCUUGUUGCCCAUUGUAUUUGUUAUAGCUUAAGGAUGGUUGUUCCACAUUGAUCAUCAUAUUUCUUUGAGCCAUUUUUAGGAUCACUUUUUGAUUGUUAAACUUACAAAAAAAAAAAGUAUUAGCAUUGAUAUCAAUUGUUAGCUCAAAGACUUGAAAUAAAUCAAGAGGGGGUGAAUUGAUUGAUAAUAAAAUUUUUAAAAAUCAAUACUUAAUAAGCAUAAAUUCUGUAAAAUAAUUUAUCUUAGCAAAUGAACAUAAUAAAUAAAAAUAAACUAACAAUCUUAAAAAUAAAAGAUAAAGAAUUAGACACCAAGAUUUAUAAAGAUUUAGUCUUUUCUUUAGGUACCCAUGUCCUCUCCUUUAACCUCACUUGUCAAAGAAUUCAAUUCACUAUGUGUUGAAAGUUACAACCUAGCUUUUCAAAGUUUUACAUGAUCAACACCACAAACUCUUAAGGGUUAUCCUCCUCCUUAAGCUCACAAUCUCAUAAUACAAAAUUUUUGAAGUAUUAUGCAAACUUAAAGAACCCCUCUAAGGUUGAAUGUUUGCUAGCUUGAAGUACAAAGCAAUAUUGACAAGAGGAUUUAGAGAAAAAUUGAUAUAAGAAAAAUUUUUUGCACUUGUCUCUCUUUGAACAUGUUUGAAUGCUUGAACAAGAUGGUUAGUGAAGGUACUAAGUUCUCUUAGCUUUAGAUGCUCUUAAUUUGCAGUGGAAUCCUUUAUUUAUAUGUAAAAAAGAGUAGAUAGCCGUUACUUUACAUUUAAUACUUCAAACUUAUAAACUAUCAGAUAAAAAAAUAGACGUUGAGGCUUUCUGGGCAUCGGGGGAUCGAUCCCCUCAUAUAGGAGAUCGAUUGGGUCAGUUAUAGGAAAGCUCAUAUUCGUGCAAGAAAAUGCUUACCCGAUUGAUCAAAUAGUAUACUUGAUCAAUCCAAUACUUAGGUGAUUGAUCUUCUAUGUGGAGGGAUCAAUCUCUUUGGUUGUUUUUCGACCCUAUUUUGCAUUCUGUAUAAAAAAUGGAUCGAUUAUUUUAUUGGAAUGAUCGAUCGGAUAAGUUUAAACCCCAACUAAUAUAUCCCUAUAGGGAGGGGAUCGAUUGGUUCUUAAUGAAUUUCCACAAGUUUAGCUACUAGAAGAAAAAUGGAUCGAUCUCUUUGGCCAAGGGAUCAAUCGAGUAAAGGAGAGGAUCAAUCCCUCCCCUUAAAGGAUUGAUCCCUUCUAUCCAAAACAUGCCUUAAUCUAUUUUGUUUCAAUAAUUUACUUUUUUUGUUCCUAAAUGAAUUUUGGCAAGAUAAAAAGGCUACAAAAAUGUUCAAUUUAAGAUUAUGAGAGUAUGAUUCAAGUUAGGCAAAUUUUUGUUUUGUCAAUUUAAAACUUUUAAUCAAUUCAAGGCUAACAAAAUGCUUAUCUUCAACCCACUGAAAAAGAUCACAAUUUACACUCUGCAAAAUGUUAAAAGAAAAGAAUAAAUUUUAUCCAUCAACACAAGACCAAUGUUGGAUAAAUCAAUAAAUACCUAUAAUACCUCUUUGAACUUUCCACCCAUAAAAUUUUUUCCUAGAUUCUUCAAUGUUAUCGACCUAAGGAUUAGAGCCAUCACUCCACAAUAACAACCGAUGGUAGUAAAUUGAUUUCUUAUUCAUAAGCUAUAAUUUGAUCGUGAGUGCCCAAAAUAUCCACUUCUUUUUUAUGAAUCUUCAACAGAACCUCCAUAUUUUCUUUCUGCCAUUUUGCUUUCUUCAUUUGCCUUUGACUUGGUGAAAGGUAGCAACUUCGAAUUAUGAAGGGUAACAACUUCAAAUUUAGGGAUUUUCAAAGUGUAGCAGAGGUUAUGAAAAUUCCAAAUUUUCAGAUAGAGGGAAGUAAUUUUUUUUACUUAAACUUUAAUUCUCUAAUUUUUUUUUCAAAUUCAUUUAUCAAACGCCAAGUAAAAUACAUAUAAGUAGCCACGUCCAUUUUCAUGUAAAACAUAAGUUUUUUUUUUGCCAAAUGUCUAUUUUUAAUUGGCUAAAAUGGCCACAUUAGCCAUUCUUGUAACGGAGUUAAGUCAUGGACGAUAUUGAUGAUAGCACGAAAGUUUAAGUGCCUGAUUAAAAACUUUUUUAGUUUAAGUACCAUACUAGAAAAAUUACAAUAGUUCAGGAGUCAAAUGAUAUCCCUUAUAUUUAAAUUAAUUUUUUAUAUUUUAUAUUUCAUACGCUAAAUAUUAUUUUGUCAAAUAAAUACUAAAAAAUAACUUAUUGAAUAUUAUGUUUUCAAGUUUUAAUUUGUAUAAAUAUAUUAUUAUCAUUUUUUAACAAAACUAUUAUUUGACAUAAAAUAAUUUUACUAAUUUUUAAUUAUUUAUUAACUCCAUAACUGAUAAAUAAUUUAAAGUUUUCAUUAUACACGAAUUUUAAUCUAAUAUCUUUAAUAGUCAUUUUUCUUCUCAUUAAAAUUCAUUUCGUUAUCACUACUGUACUUGCAUCCCAACAUAUAUCUUACAACUGAUUUUAAUUUUAUCGCUACAAUAUUCAAUCUUAUAGCUAUAAUAACUAAUCCCAUAGCUACCGCUAUUUUCAAUUUUACUAGAAUCAAUUUCAUUACCCAUCUAAAUAGACCUUUAAUCUAUCACAUGGCACGUGGUUGAUUCUUUUGCCAACCCGUUGAGUUCUACCAACUCAUUUCGACUAGCUUGAAUAAUUCAAGUUUUGACCCACUGCACUAAACGAGUUAAGGUGGCAUGAGUUAUGCAACAAAUACUUGAAACUUGUCAGAUUGAGGAUCAAAACAUAUAAUGUCCUCCAGCAAUAUAAGUUAGAGUAUGAUGACGUUAAAGGUAAAUUAGAAAUUAAAAAAAAAAAUGAAACAUGUAAACUAUUUGAAUCUACAAGUUAUUCAUCAAAGUCAUGAAAAAGCCAGCUAAGGUUGGUAUAUUUUAAGUGUAAUACAUGUAUAUAUAAAAUGUUGUUCGAUGUAAUCAUAAUUUUUAACUAUUAUUAUUAUGGGUUAAAACAAUCUAAAUAAUGGAUUAAUAAAUUUGACUAAAAGUGUGUAACCCAAUAAAAGCUCAUGACUCAAAGGUCCAUAAGCUUAGCCAACAACCAUAUAGUCUAUUAAUAAAGCACUAGAUUUUUAGUUCUAAUGAUUAAAAAUCAAAUUCUAAUAGCUUAAAUAAAAAAAAAGUCUAUAAGGUUACAUUUGUAGGCUUGGGCAACAAAUCCAACCUGAAUGCUAAGAUGAGCUCUAUCCGAGGCAAGACAACUAUCCUCAUAUUCAUUUUCUUCAUUAGUUUAGUAUAAAUAGAAAUUCUUUUAGUGUGAACUUGGAGUUUAACUCAGUUGGUUCGUGCAAUCACCUUUAAGUGAUAGCAUUGAAAAAGUUUAAAAUCUAAAAUCUAAUAUUUGCAAUCUUUUUUUUUAUUCUCAUGUUACUGCCUAAAAAAGUUCUUUUAAUGUGAAAAAGGUUUUAGAGACCAAAUCAAACUUGCCUUUAUGUUUAUGUUUAUCCUUCAAUUUUUUUUACCUGUCGAGCACUUUUAUCCCUAUAAUAAGUAUUAAGGGUGAGAAUACUUAUUAAAGGUGAGACUACUUUGAUCAUCCUAAUUUUUAUUAAAAAGAUAAAAAAAAUACUAAUAAAAUGAAAUAUAAAUUUAUUUUUAAGAAAAAAAAUCAACCUAAAUGUAGGUUUUUAAUAAUUAAAAACUAUAUUGAGAUUAGAUUUGCAAUUACAUUAUACAUUAAUGUUGAAUUUUGUCAUUCUUGUUCAAUUUUAUUAAUUUGAUCAUCGUAUUUUUUAUUUUGUUAAUUUUAUUGAUAUAAAAUAAAAGAAUUGACAAAAAUUUAUGACUUCACUAAUGAAAUAUUUCAACUUUGUUUUUUAUUAAAAAAAAAACUAAUGACAUUAAAAGUAUAUUAACUAAACUUAAUAAAAUUAAAAUGUAAUAAAAUUAAUUGUCAAUCACAAGCUUAGAUAAAUAAUGAAGGUUGUGAUAGGAUAAUGGCCAGUGUAAAAUAUGAUCAAACCAUGAUGAGAGACUACAAUAAGAAUUUUCGUUGGGCCAUUACCUCCAUAGCAGCAUGCUACAUCUGAGUCAGGGUGUAUUAUUAAAUGGGCAAGGGUUGUUAAGUCAUUACUCAAAAGCAACAUGUCAAAUGGCUGCCUAGGUGUGGUGUCAAAUAGGCAACGAUUCUCAUAUUUUAAUGGACGAACAUGAGUAAAAAAGUUAGUUCAUAGGAGCAAGUUACACUUAAAUACUUCAAAUAUAGGAUUGCUAACCGGUAAACUAGUAGAGUUGGGAGACAUCACAACUAGGAGAAUAAUUAAUAUUGUGUCUUCAAAAAACUAAGUGGAUAAGGGAAAAGGUUAGAGACAUAAAAACAUAAGGCUCAAAGUUUUGGUACAUAAGUAAAUAAAAGAGUGCGAAUAAUUAUAGAUAAGAAUUUAAAAGAUGAUGCGAUUGAUGUUAAAAGAAAAAAAGAUAAAAUUUUACAUGUUAAACUUUUAUAAAGAAAGAAAACUACUAAUGUCAUUAGUAUUUACACCUUGCAAUAGGUUUAGAUCAAGUGAAUAAAUAAAAAUUUUAGAAAGAUUUGGACAAAGUAGUGCUAGCCAUACCAAAAGGAAAAAAGUUAUUUUUUAGAAGAGACUUAAAUGGUCACAUAAGCAAAGAUUGUAGUGACUUUAAAAAAACGCAUGAAAGGUAUGGCUUUGGAGAAAGAAACGAUACCAAAGGAUAAUAUUCUAGAGUUUAAUACUGCAUUUGACUUAACUAUAUGAAACACAUGUUUUAGAAAAAAAGAAUCAUAUUUGGUGACUUUUAGGAGUAGGUCAAACAUUAAUUAAAUUGAUUUUUUUAACAAGGAAAGAGUAUAUAAGUAGAUGUAAAGAGUGCAAGAUUAUAUCAAGUGAGAGUGUGACAGCACAACAUAGAUUGUUAGUUCUAAAUAUCUUUCACAUUCGGAGGUAAAGAGGCUACAUCAAUCAUGAACCACGUAUUAAGUGGUGGAACUUAAAAGGGAUAAAAUGUAAACUUUUAGGGAUAGACUAGUAAAAUAGGUUGAUUGAAAGUCUAUUGAGAAUAUAGAAGUAAUGUGAGAAAAAUUUUCUAUCAAAAUUCAAAUGGUUGCUAAAAGACAUUCAGCAAAUCUAGAGGCUGUGCACUAUUAAAAAAAAAAUCUUGGUGGUGGAAUGAAGAUGUAAAAAUGAUAAUCAAAGUUAAGCAAGAGUGUUAUAAGAAUUUAAAGAAUAAUAGGGAAGAGGCAAGUUAUCUAAAGUAUAAGACAGCAAAAAAAAAGUCAAAAAAAUUAUUCAAGAUUAAAAGACUAAGAUCCAUAAAGAGUUAUAUAGAAAACUAAAGACAAUAAAUGGAGAAAAGAAUUAUUCAAAAUUUGUUCAAAAUUGCUAAAAUGAGGGACAAGAAACAUAUGGAUCUUAAUGGUGUAAGAUGUAUCAAAAGCAUUGACGAAAAAGUUUUAGUGAAGGAUGAAGAGAUUAAAAAGUGAUGGAGAGAUUAUUUUGAUAAUCUCUUAAUGGUAAUUUUACGUAUGAUAUAAGUGAAAUUCACAUACUUUUUAAGAAUACAAAUCAUGUGUUUAAAUAUAAUAUUAAAAGGUAUAAGGUUAAAGAAGCUUUGAGAAAACUGAAAGUAAAGAAAGCUGUAGGACCUAAUCAAAUCCUAAUUGAAGUUUGGAAAUGCUUAGGUGAAAUAAAGAUGGAAUUGUUGAUGAAUCUUUUCAAUAAAGUUUGACGUACUCAAAAGAUGCUAGAAGAAUGGAAUAAGAGUACUUUAGUGCCUUUAUACAAGAAUAAAGGUGAUAUACAAAAUUGGUCGAACUAUUGAGUAAUAAAGCUUAUAAGUCAUAGAGAGAGCAAGUGAAUGUAGGUUGCGAUAUGAUAUCACUAUUUUUGAAACUCAAUUUGGAUUUAUGCCAAGACAUUUCACAAUAGAGGCAAUUUACCUAUUAAGGCUUUUGUUGAAGGAUUUUCAGGCAAAAAAAAAUAUCUACAUAUAAUAUUUAUUAACUUGCAGAAAGUAUAAGACAGAGUGCCUCGAGAGGUGUUUUGGUGGGCCUUAAUGAAGAAAGGAGUUUCUUUAAAGUACGUUAAUAUAGUUAAAAAUAUAUAUGAAAGAGUUGUAAUUAAUGUGAGGACAUUCAAGGCCUUGACUGAUAGAUUUCUUAUUACCUUAAGAUUGCAUCAAAGCUCAAUACUAAGUUUUUUUUUUUUUUUUGCAUUAGUUAUGGACGAGCUCAUUAGACAUAUCCCUGAUAAGGCAUUAUAGUAUAUGUUAUUUACCGAUGAUAUAGUUUUACUUGUUGAAACUAGUGAUAAACUUGAUGCGAAAUUAGAAUUCUGGAGGCAUAUGUUGGAGUCUCGAGGUUUUAAAUUGAGUAGAUUUAAAACUAAAUAUAUAGAUUGUAAGUUUGGUAGUAAUAAAGAAGCGAGUUAAGUUGGAUGGUGAGAUAAUACCAAAGAAUUGUCAUUUUUUAUAUUUGUGAUCAAUUAUUUAAAGUGAUACUGAGAUAAAAAAGGGAUUUAAAUCAUAUGAUUCAAGUAAGAUAGGUGGGGUGAAAAAGCACGUCGAGUAUAUAAUGUGAUUGCAACAUGUCUUUAAAGUUAUAUAGGACUGAGUGUUGAGCCAUUAAGAAUAACAUAAGAAGAAAAUAAGGGUAAUUGAGAUGAUGAUGCUUAGAUGGAUGUGUGAUAAAACUAGAAGAGAGAAAUUAGAAAUGAAGAGAUUUAAAAAAUAAUAAUAAAAGAUAACCUGAAUUGAGAAAAAUAUAAAAGAAGGUUAUUUUAGAUGUUUUAGACAUAUGAAAUGCAUGCCUAUCUAUGCAUUAGUUAAGAGAAAUGAGCUUUUAGAUUUGGAAACGACUAAAACUUUCUAGAAGUAGACCAUAAAAGACGCAGAUGUAGGUAAUAAAAAAUUAUAUAAGGGUAAAGAAGUAGAUAAAAAUGAGUGGCACAAAAAAAUUCAAAAUUAUAACCUAACAUUUUUUAUUUUACUUUUCAUAUAGCCGACCACAAAGUUAUAGGAUAAAAAAUUUAAUUUGUUUUUGUUGUAAAUUUUAAAAUUAAAUUAUGUAUAUUAAAAAUUUUAAUCUUAAUUAAAAAUUAAAAAAUAUAGUGAUAGAAAUGCUAGUUUUUACCAUUGAAGUUAAUGUAACAACAUUCAAAAUUCAUUCAAUUAAAGAAUUUAAGCAUUAUAUGAACCCAUGCGUUUAUUAAAAAUUUUGAUAUAAAAAUUCAAAAAUAAAAUUGUGAUAUGAGAAAUUUGAAAAAAAAAAUACAUGAUAUAAAAGUAAUCAUGUUCAAGAGUCGGUCGAGCUACCUGUUAGAGUCUAAAGGCAGCAAUUGUUCUUAAGUUAUUUUAUUCAUGAUUUAAAUUCUAAUAAAAAAGAAAUAUUAAAUAUUAAAUAAAAAUAUUUGUUUUAUUUUUUUAAUUUAAAAAAUAUUUGGACAGGCCUAAACUAUCUAUUUACUAAAUAAGCAAAUUUAGAUAAAACUUGAGAUUCUAAUUAUCGAGUGAGAUUGAAUUUGAACAAAGUAUAAAAUGUUGAUAUUAUAUUUAGAUAAGCUUGCAUAAAAUUUAUUUUCAUUCAUGUACAUUUAUAAAUAGAAGAAAAAAAUUGUUAGGAAAUAUAAAUAUUCUGCAACGACGGUGAUAUUUUUUUAGGAUAAUAAAUGUAGGAUGAUUGGAUUUCAUUUAAGAAAAAAAAAUUUAUCGAUCUAAAAAGGACAUUACAAAAGAUUUUGAUGGCUAAACUGUAAUAAGAAAAUUUAAUAACUUCAUAUCAAAUAACCAAAUUCAUGUAAUUAAGAAGGCGUGUUUAGGUAAUCAAAAUCGACAAUGAAACUUUUUAUUAUUUAUCAUAUGAUUUUUUUUUUUAAUUUUGGUCUUCUUCAGAUUUUAUCAUAUCUAGAAAAAAGAACAGUUGGCCCGUGGUCCUUUUCUUAGCUGCUCACUUGCCGUUGCCACAUAAUAUGGUAACAUGCCUUCUGCCUAUCGCUUUCAGCAAGGCAGUAUUUCAGGUCCAACUUGAUCCAUUCUUUUUAAUCCAACAAGUGAUUGAUUCAAUCGGUUAGAUUUAUCUUUUUCAAUAAAAAGAUUUUGGAUUUGAGUCAUGUCGAUGAUCAUUUGUUAGAGUCAUCUCAAAUGCAUGAUCUGUAAUCACUUAUAUUAAACUGUCAAGUAUGACAUAUAUUACCUUGACAUAAAAAACUGAGUAACCUAUCUAUCCCCGAAUUUUUCAAAACCAAAAAACAUAAAAUAUGAAAAGGAUUUACGUAAAAUUUAUUAGAUAAAUUUUAUGAAAUUAUUUUUUAAAAUUAAAAAUUAAAAUAUAUAUUAAAAUUUUGUUACAUAAAUUAAAUAUGUAAAAUUUAAUAAAUUUUUAUAUGAUUUUUAUAUAGGCAUUUUUAAUAAAAAUUUUGAUAAAAUUUUAUCGUUAAAUAAGUUUUCAACAAAUUUAAUUAUAAAUGACAUUUUUAAUAAUAUUUUUUACAUAUUAUUGAUUUUUUAAUUAAAUUUUAUUAAUUUAUUAAUUUAAAAUUUUUAUUAAAUUAUUUUUAAUAAAAAAUUUUAUAAAUUUUUACUUAAAAAACUUCAUAUAAGUUUUUCUCAUAAAAUAUACUAAUAAUUCUAAUGAAAGUAUUUUACUUAAAAUUAUUGUAAUACAAUUAAUUAAUUAUAGUUUAAAAUUAUGCAAAAUUUAUUAAAAUUUUAUGAGACUUACCCUUGUAAGUGAUGAAUUUUUAUAUAAUUUUUUAUUAUAAUUAAACAAUUAUAAUAUUUAAAAACAAUUAUAGAUGAUACGCUCCUAAUUCUAGUGGAUCUCUGACCCAACUUAUUGAUUAAAUCCAACCCUUUUUGAGGCUAAGUGCAUUUGGAUGGCAUCUCAUGGUGUAUUAUUUUUUAUUAUUUUUUAAUUUGUAAUGGAAAGGAGAAAGGGUGCAGUGAAUAUUGGAUCAUAGAUUGCUUUAGUGUAAAAUGAAAAUAAUUUUAUAUUGAUGUGUUUUUAUCCAAAAACAUUUUCAUAAUUAAUUUUAAUUUUAUUUUACAACACUGUCACUACUAUUCUUAAUUUUAUCAAAAUUAAAGUAAUUAUCCUUUCAAAUAGACCCUAAAAAAGCAUUUAUUUUCAUUUUUAUUUUCACACUACGUUUUCCUUUUGUCACUAAUAAAGACUCCAAGACCAUAAUCAUCUGAUCCCACCACCAACGAGGGAAGAAAGAAAGAGCAACAAGUUUUAGUCCAAAUGGAAACCGAAACUUCAUGGUAAGUAACACAAGCCACUCUUUUUUCUUCCACUCCAAUUUCCAAAUUUGAAAUUUGACUUGAAAAUUCCUUAUUCAUCUGACAUCCUAUCCUCUUCUUCUGGGAAAUUAAUUCUUAUCAAAUAAAGCCGAAGCAAUUUCGAAAUGAGCGAAAUGCUGGCAACAUAUCUUGCCUCAACAUCGCUGUUGGAAGAGGCAUGGAGGAUUUGCAGUAUCGCAAACACAAAGUUUCCAGGGGCUUACAUGGUGGAACAGAUUGGAAGCGUGGCCUAUGUUGCGUUUUCUGGCAUACAAAUGGAUUCUGGGUCAGACCAGACCAGCAGAAAUCUGGUGCCACUGGAUGCUGAAGACGAUGGCCUUUUCGCUCCUCUUUAUCGACAUAGCGAAGCAGAGGAGCCCAUCAAGGUGCAUAAAGAAAUGUUAAAGCUUUUCCUCUCAAUGUAUCCCAGUUUGCAAAUCCAGGUCAGAUUCUUAUCUUUUACCUUGCAGCAUAGUUAUACCAUAUAAAAUUUUCAUCUGUCUUUAUCUUUCAGUUUUCUUUGUUUAUGGUUUAACAUUUAGUUCAUUUUAUUAACAAUUUCUAAAGUUGAAAAAAAUCAAAAUUUUGACUUCAACAUUUAAAAAUAAUAAUAAUAAAUACAAACCAUCAAACACUUGUUGUAUUAAAACUACUAAAUCGCCAUUAAGCUCAUAUUAAUCAAAUUACACAAGACAAUUCGUACAUUUGUAUUUAUUUACUUGUGUUUAAUAUACGUAAGAUAUAAAAAUUAUUAUAUCAUAAUUUUUGUAAAUACACUGCACAAAACAUUUAUUUUAUUUUUAACAAAUUAAUUCAUAUACAAUAUUUUAUUAAAACUUUAAAUCUUAUUUUUUUUAUUAUUUUUAUAUCGUCAUUCAGUAUUUAAAAUUAUUAUGUAUACAUCAAACUGAAUGAAUUAUUGUUGCAAUUUUUUUUUUUAAAUGAAGAUACUGAAAUGUGAGAUUGACAGUUGAUAUAACUUUAAUCAAUAUUAGGGUGAGACAUGCGCUUCCUGCCUAAAACAUUUGAAUAUAUAUUUAUAUAAUCUAAUGUUAUGAUUUUAAUUUUUAAUUUUAUUUUUUAGCCGGAGGUUAGCUAGAUAUAAUAUCCUUUGCAAAUUUAUUUUAACAAUAUAUGUACAUAUAACUUACAAACAUAUAUAUAUAUAUAUAUAUAUUUAAGCAAAAUGAAUCCCUAAUCAUUCUAUUGAAAUUAAUUACUUACAAUGAAAUGAAUCUUCUAAUGUACCAUAUUUCUAAUUCAAUUUUAUCAAAAAUGAAAAGUUUAGUUAAUUUCAACAAUGGAGAUUUUUAUCAGUAUUUUUGUUAUUAUUAUUUUAUUUCUUAUUUUUUUUAUUUACGUAAUAUGCUAAGUAACCUCCUUGAUUUUUAAUUAACAAAAAAUAAUAAUAUGAAAAAAAUUAAAUAUAAUUAAUAUGAAUCACAAAUAAAAAAGCCAUUGCUUUUUAAACUUUAUUUAGGGUUUGAAUAUCACUAAAAUGUUAAAAUAAAUGAAAACCAGUAAUCAUGAAAUGAUUAAUUCACUUCCGCCCAUAGAAUAGGUGUGAAUAAAAGAAGCCAUGUAGUUAACUUUUCAAUUAAACGAUAGAUGAAUCUUUCACCUGUGUUGGUGCGAGCGAUGACAUCACCAUAUUCCCAGUUGAUGUGAAAAGGGUAACAGAAAGAAUAAAGUCACCACUUGGAGUUCAGCUACUUGUUAUUAAAAAGAGUGAAUUAGGGUAUAGGGUCCCAACUGCCAAAAGGAGAAACUUGAAUCAACCCAAAUUUCCAAAUCAUAUCAUAUCAUGAAAAUAAAUUUGAUCGGGUGAAUUCAAAUCCCACAUGACUUUAAUUAACUAUAAUUAGAAUAAAAUUUUAAUGUAAUUAUAUUUUUCAAAUAUUCCUAACCAUGUUUAAAUCAAGACAUGUCAAUUAUCAUAUUGAUUUUGAAGUUAAAAUUAUAGUAGUAUGGUAGACUGUGAAAGAGAAUGAGAUUUUUUAAUAUUUAGGUUUUUUUACCUUUUUAGUUUCGUUUAAUUGGAUGAUACUUUUGUUAUUUACAUUUUAUUAAAUAAAGAAGUGAAAAGCAAACAAAUUAAAAUAAAUUAAAAAUAAGUCACAAAUAACAAAAAGUAAAAAUGCCAACCAUAUGAAAUUAAUUUUAAUUAACCUAUUUAUUUGCUGUGAUUAGAUACUAUGUGGGUAAUUUUUUUUUUUAAAAAAAUAUAAGUACUUUUUUAAAAAUAUAUAUUAUAUAGAAAUUUGUUUUUCUAUAUGUGAAAGUAAAUAAGCAAUUAGGGAGUAACUAAUUAAUCAAGAAACGUUAUUAUUGAUCAAUAAUAACAAUAUAAUAGCAGCAAAAUCACAGGUCAAUUUAAUACUUGUAGUUGAUAAAAUAAAAAAUAAAAGACCAAUUAACUAGUUGAGUCCACAUACAAUGUUCUGAAGUAAGCCAAUUCAUUUGACAUUGAGGUCAAACUUCAAAAAAAGCCACCCCGGAGUGCACUCGCAUUUUCUUGCAACAUGCCAGUGGUGUCGGCAAAAUCUUUUUCGUACCAUUUCACAAACUCUCUUUUUUUGUCAGAAUUUGUUUUGUUGUUUUAUUAUGGUUGGUUGGGUCUAUUCUUAAAGCAAGCAUGCCUUCCAUUACGUCACCAUGGGGCUUCGCCAUUGUUCGUUUCGUUUGUCGCUUUUGAAAUCAUUCAAGAUGCUGUCGUACCAUUGCAAAAAUUGGAUCGUAUUAACCAGAAAAUUUUUACAUUAUUAUUAUUAUUAUUAUUUUGGUAAUUAUCCGAUUGUAGUUAUGAAUAAUAUAUCGAGUGGAGUUUAAUGGCGAACUUGAGGUAAAGAUCCCUGAUCUAUAAUCAAUUAUUGUAAUUGGUUUAUAUACAGAGCUAGUGAUUAUGUGGAUGGAGUAAGAGUCAAAUUAAGUUGAAUCAUUUCACAUUAAUGAAAUUUUGGAUCGUUUUAAAUGUUAUGAAAUUAUCUCUGAGUUUGUAUGAUUUUGUAUUCAAAUCAUCUGUGUUUAACUUAUUAAUUUUUAAAAUAAAAAUUGAAUUGAUUUCAAUUGCAUUGGUUGAUAUUUUAUCAACCUUAAUUAACAUUUUAAAGGUCACGUAAUCACAUUUUCUAUUUAUUUUUUCUUAUUGUGGUACACUUGCAAUUUUGAUUUUUUAAUAUCGUAAUUUUAUAAAAAAAAUUAGAUUAUAUGAAAGGACAAAAAGAUAAGUAACUUAAAAAUUAUUUACUAAACUAGUUAUUUUUUAUUAACAAAUUCCACACCCCUGGGAAAAAAUUAGUCAUUUAUUAUUUUUAUUGAUGUUUACUAUUCAUCCUUAUUGUACGGAUUACUAUUUUUUUUAGUUUACUAUUGACUAACUAGAUUUGCCAUAGCUUAUGAUUAUAACUUGCAAGCUCAUAAUUUCAAAAUCAAAUUAAUAUUAAAAGAAAAAAAUAAAAUUAUACUCGAUUUUUUUUUUCUUUUACUUGGGAUUGGGAUCAACUCAUGAAUUGAUUACUUUUUCCAUCUUAAUCUCCGGUGGAUGCAGAUUAUGGCGUUAAUGGGAAAAGUGAAGUCCAUAGUGAUAACGGGUCAGUCCAUAGGGGGAACAACAGCCUCCCUUUCAGCUUUAUGGCUCCUCUGUCAUCUGCAGUCCAUGUCUUCUCCAGUGACGACGGUGCUAUGCAUCACAUUCGGCUCUCCAUUGCUCGGCAAUGAAACCCUCCAUCGAUCAAUUCGCCGCCAAAGAUGGGUUGGAAACUUUUGCCAUGUUGUUUCCAAGCAUGAUAUCAUGCCAAGACUACUCUUUGCUGAAAUUGUUAAUCACAUUUCGAAAAUACAAGACCUGUUAAAUUUCUGGCACUGCUGCAUGGCUUCUCCACACAUCAUUGUUACAGGCCUUUCUUCUCAGCUACCCGAUGAUGUUAAAGAUACUAUUUUUCAAUGUGUUUUGAAGGACUUGGAACUGUUAGCACAAGCUGAAGAGCCAUCAGAAAGUUUGUUUUGGCCGUUUGGAAGCUUUGUUUUCUGCUGCCAAGAAGGUGCCAUUUGUGUAGAGAAUGCAGCGUCUGUUACUAAAAUGAUGUAUUUGAUGCUGGCAACAGCUUCUCCAUGUUGUAGCAUUGAGGAUCAUCUCAAGUAUGGAGAUUAUAUUGCUAAAGUUUCUAACCAGUUUUUGAAGGCUAGAAACUUCCAAGAAGAGGGUCUACCUGAUUCUAGCUGUGAAGCUGGAGUGGCAUUGGCAUUGCAGUCCUCACAACUAACUCACAAGGUACUCAUUUUUCUCACCAGGAAUACUUGGUUCCUUGCUGCCACGAUUAACAAAUAAUAUUUAGCAGAUUUGGAAUUAAAAUUCCACUAUCUAUAACCUCUUUUGCACUUGAAAGAAAGCCAAUUUUCAUCUUUACUUGAUUUAUUUUUUGAUUUUUGCUUUAACUAAAAUCAACUCAUAGGAAUCAGUUCAAGACCUUUGCUUAUCCAUGCAGAACCCAAACACAAGGAAAGAAGUUGCAAUUAUGGCCAAGGACUGCCUACAUAUGGCUCAAAAUGAUCACAACCCAAACCUCACUGCUGCCAAUCUAGCAAUAAAAUUGUCCAAGAUAGUGCCCUUUAGAGCUGAGAUUGAAUGGUAUAAAACCCGUUGCGAUGAGGCUGAUGAUCAAAUGGGUUAUUAUGAUUCCUUCAAGCUUAAGGGGGGUUCAAGAAGAGAGGCCAGAAUCAACAUGAACCGCCAUAAGCUUGCUGGGUUCUGGAAUAGCGUAAUCCUCAUGUUGGAAAGCAACAAGCUACCUCAUGAUUUUGACAGAAGAGGUAAGUGGGUAAACGCUUCCCAAUUCUAUAAGCUUCUAGUUGAGCCAUUGGACAUUGCCGACUACUACCGAACAGGGAUGCACCGCGAACAUGGCCAUUACAUUGAGCAUGGAAGGGAGAGGAGGUAUCAAAUUUUCGAUAAAUGGUGGAGGGACAGACGUGUUCCAGAGAAAGAAAAGAAGAGGAGCAAAUUUGCCAGCUUGACACAAGAUUCAUGCUUUUGGGCUAGGGUAGAAGAAGCCAGGGAGUGGCUAGAUAAUGUCAGAAGGGAGAGUGAUGUAACAAAGCGACGUCUGUUGUGGCACAAGAUUGAUGUGUUUGAAAAAUAUGCAGGGAAGUUGAUUGAGAAUAAAGAGGUCUCUAACGAUGUAUUAGCAAAAAAUUCAAGCUUUAGUCGAUGGAUGGAAGAAUGGAAGAAAUGAAAUCACAUGUCCUGCAAUUCCCUCCCUGGUUUCCAGAUUUUGUGGAUGGAGAGGUUGUUCCUUAGUCUGCUUUCUACUACAAACAUGCUUUUUGUAGGUUUGUAAAAUAUGUAAAAAACCAUUUCGUGUAGCUUUGGUUCAUGAAUUCGCUUUUAUUACUAUGGUGCACUUUUUACACAACCAUCCUGACCUGCAAAACUAUUCGGUCCAAUUCAAUCUGAAAUUUGGUUAUCAGAAUCAAUGUCCACUCAAAACUCUGAUGAAUUAAUCCUUUGAUUUUCACGAAUUCAUUAGAUCCUAUGACGUAAAUAUAUUUGCUUGAUGAAUCACUUAAACUCGAAAAGCAUAUGUUCGAAAUUUCAAUCUAUGCAUAAAUAUUUGAAUUUGUGAUUGAUGUUAAACCUUUUCAAUUCGGAAUUUCUAUGUUCCCAGCAGAUCCCUUGAACCAUUUUCUGGAUUAUCAAAGACUAACCCAUACCCAAAGCUAAAGGUGCAUAAUCGAAUGUGCCCCAAGUAAUUGGAUGUUAGGUUGGUAAAAGAAAGACUACAAGUGUUUACAAAUCCACAGAAAGUCAAUCAGGCAGACUGGUCCUCUUGCUCUGCCCAAAUAAAGUGGUCCAUCUUUAAAUUUCUCUGCAAUUACCAUUCUUGUAAAGAUUGGAACAGCAUAGCCACUAACCCACUGUCAUGGCCAGGCCUUGGUCCUGCCAUGACUGACUCUGAACCAAGCAACGGUCGAGAUCAAGCUUGCGAAAAAGUGGCUCUAAGAGUUGUAGGCGUGCAUUUGGAGCCUUGGAAUAUGUUACUACCAUAUUGUACGGGCAGUGGGAGCCUUGAACCACAAGAUACGCAGAAAAGUUCGAGACGACGGUCAAGCACCCUCAAGCCAAGUAGCCAGGUGGGUGCCACCGGUAGAAGCAGUGUGUGGGCGUUCCGAGCAUGGGAAUAUCUUGGGAAUAUUGUGUGUGGACGGUCCAUGUCCUAAACCCCGAGAUACGCAGGUAAGUAUAAGGCAGUACGUCGAUGCCUUGGGACCAGCUAGCCAGUCAGGUGCUGUCAGUCGAAGCCAUGUGCGGGCACCUUCGAGUGGGUUGGUGGAGCAACGAGCAGAAUCAAGGAGUAGUGGUGACCAAGAGAAGGGUCAUGGGGCCCUGAGUUAGCCGGAGAAAGGCCUUGAGAUGGAUGGAGAGCAAAGUGUCCCCAUUUCAGACAAUCUUACGGUCACUAGUAGGAGACUGAGAACAUCUCUUACGCUCUUUAUAGGGGGACAUCUGGUGUCAGCUCUCCACCACCCCCUUGGCUAGCGGGCAGGCGAGGGCCUGACUAGUCUGAAGUAAGCUAUUCCUAGUCACUAGUGGUGGCUAGGUGGGCGGGCAUUGUAUGGUCACGAGCGUGGCACGAUAUUUUCUCAGGUCACGGUAAAUCCGGGGGCGGUUGGGGUCGACGGACCUCGUAUCGCGCCUUUGCGUUGAACCAUGGGGUUAGACGGUAGAGAUCGUUAGGCCCCUCGGUUUCCCCUCCUCGAGCCGGAAGGAUCACGGGAUGGCGUUUGCGUAGAAGGGAUGCCAUCGAGCCAAAGGGAUGUGCGGGCUAGUAGGCAGACACGCUGCUAGACCCCUGUGGCCAGUCGGGAGAGGUGUGCUACAACUGGGGUAGUCCACCCAAGCCCCCUUACGGGAUUAGCAUGAUGGUUGGUGUCAACCAUGCGUACGGGCGAUUGGUGUGCUGCAGCUGGGGGCAGUCCACCCAAGUCCCCUUGCAGGACUAGCAUGAUGUUGGGUGUCAAUCAUGCGUGCGGGCGGCCGAUACUAAUGCUAAGGGCCUAAGCCCUAAGAAUAGAGUCUCGUGGGAUGAGACGAGCCUAGAGGCUUCGAGCUGGUGGUCGACCAGCUUAGUUGUGGUGCUUGCGUAAACUUGAUACGGGAGCUUGCGUACGAUACGGGCGGGCAUGAUGUUGGGUUCUCACCAUGUCAAGAAGUGAUAAUAUCAUGAGAACCGAGACUAAGUGUCCCUACGAGCAAUCGAGGAUCGAGGCUCAAGAUUCAAAGCCCUACGGGAAGAGAUGGGUGCUCGGGACUACGUUAAGAAUCGAGGGUUAUGUGCUCCGAUGGGGAUUCGAGGGUCAGUGCUCGAGGCCUUAAGCCUUGCGGCCAGAAGGAUCGCUGGCUGAUGCGCGAUGAGAGUUGGGUUACUCUCUGUAGAGUUUGGAAUGAGCGAUCCUAUGGGGUCAAAACCAAAAAAGGCUCGUGGGCAUGUGGCUUGAAGGAUCGAAAUUGGUCUGUCCAUAAAAAAAUGGACACGAUAGAAGGCUGACCUUGACUAGGAUUAGUCUUGGUGCUGCACGGACACGUGGUUUCAGAAGGAGGAAUGCACGGAUCAUGACAGAUUUGGUAUCGAGCCUUGGUUUGGCUCAGUGGCGAGAUUUACAUGACCCCAUGUGCGGGCCUAAGUGAAGUGAAAUCGAGGUGGUGCCAAGCUCAAAAAGAGCUACCAAGAUGCGAAUACGGUUCUGUGGCUAUGGGGGCUCAGAAAUGAGCCAACGACGCGUGUUGCGGGCAAUAUUGGGCCUAUGUAAAAAGGCUCUCGAGUAGGCUCUUGGAUGCCAAGCAAAAAGGCACCAGAGUCUAGCCUCACCUAGAAAAAGAUGUUGGCAUAUGUUGGGGCAUGGGAUGCCUUCACAGUGGAAGGAACCGUAGUGAAACCAAGAUGCGAAAAGGGGCUUACACCAUGAAAUGGUGUUGCGUAAGGCCAUGUGGGCCGAGUGAAUCUUGUCUUGAGAGGCAGGAGGUAUCGAGUUCCAAGAUUAAUUACUGAUGUGUGCACUUGCUGCAUGGUGCAGGUGCCCCAGCGGGGGUGCAAGCCGAAGUAUUUGGGUCCAAGCAUGGAGUCCUUACACAGAGGAGUAUGGAGUGGCUAAAGAUUAAAGCCACGAGUGGAAGGGUCGGUGGACCAUGAGUUGCAUUGGUCAAUGGACCAUGAGUUCUCGUGGUCAGAAGAUCACGAGAGUGUGUGAAUCAGUGAACUGAGUCUGUGUUGGCCGAUAGGAAAGGCUUCACAUGAGCUGUGGUGGUCAGUGGGACACGACAGGGUGUAAUCUGGUGAAACAAGCAAAGGGAAAUGGCCAGUUGACAAGGCCUCAGACAUGUAGGUCAGUGGACCUUGAGGAGUGAGCGGGUAAAUCCCCGAGUCGAGCAAAUCAGUGGACUAGGCAUUUUGUCGGAUCAGUGGAUCUUCGAGUAUGUGCGGAUUUUGAGAUGUCAUAGGUGCCAUGCUAGAUUCAAGGCAAACAAGUAGUAGAUUCAUAAAGAAGACAUGGUUGCGCAUAAUGCUGCAUCAAGUUUUGAGUAAAAGUGGGAGAGACCUGUCAAUUCCCCGUGAGACUGAGCCAAGACAGAGGAGCUUGAGCAAUGGAGCACAGUGUUCAAGCCGGGAACAGAGACCGAGUUAGCGUGCAUUAAGGUGUCGUCUUGAGGGCGGUUGGCCAGAGGGCCACACCUAAAGGGGUGACCUUGGAGGGGUCGAGAGGACCCAAGUUAGGAGAUGGUCAAAGUGCCUAAAUGCCACUGUGCUAGGGUCUAUCAUGUAGGGUGCCGUAUGAGUGCGAUUGACCUAAGAACCACAUCCAGAGGGGCGCAUCAAAAGGUUGAUGCUGCAAACGUGCAGUUGGUAUGAGGGGUCACGUCCGAUGGGAUGUACCAAUGAGUGGCAAAGCGGAUGGUCAUUCAUUCUACUGAGGGUCAUUGAUCAAUGAGGGUGCCUCGAGGUCGUAACACGACAUGAUCAAGGGAUGAAGCAAUGGUAUGGCCCAUAUGAGAACAACCGAGAUAGGUUAGGAGGUUCCAGCUAGAACAGAGCUGAGCGACAACGUGAUCCAUCUACAUCAACAAUGGACGAGUACUGUGGAUGGCACUUUAUGUGACGGGACCUCGACCCAAUUCUUGAGGGCAUAAGUGAAAGACAUAUGAGUAAAUGUCAACUGUGUGCAACAAGAUAGUUAGGGUGUGGUCUUGGCGUCGAUGAGGGCAUCGACAUAGUAAGUGAGGGAGAGUGUCAUGGCCAGGCCUUGGUCCUGCCAUGACUGACCUUGAAUCGAGCAGCGAUUAAGAUCAAGCUUGCAAGAAAGUGGCUCUAAGAGCUGCGGGCGUGCAUUUGGAGCCUUGGAACAUGUUACUACUAUGUUGUGCGGGCAGUGGGAGCCCUGAACCGCAAGAUAUACGAGGAAGUUUAGGACGGUGGUCAAGCACCCUCAAGCUAAGUAGCCUGGGGGGUGCCACCAGUAGAAUCAGUGUGCGGGCAUUCUGAGCAUGGGAAUAUCUUAGGGAUAUUAUGUGUGGACGGUCCAUGUCCUAAACCUCGAGAUACGGAGGUAAGUAUAAGGCAGUACGUCGGUGCCCUGGGACCAGCUAGCCAGUCAGGUGCUGUCGGUCGAAGCCAUGUGCGGGCACCUUUGAGUGGGUUGGUGGAGCAACGAGCAGAAUCAAGGAGUAGUGGUGACCAAGAGGAGGGUCAUGGGGCCCUGAGUUAGCCGAAGAAAGGCCCUGAGAUGGCUGGAGAGAAAAGUGUCCCUAUUUCAGACAAUCUUACGGUCACUGGUAGGAGACUGAGAAAAUCUCUUACGCUCUUUAUAGGAGACGUCUGGUGUCAACUCUCUACCACCCCCUUGGCUAGCGGGAAGGCAGGGGGCCUGGCUAGUCUGAAGUAAGCUACUCCUAGUCACUAGUGGUGGCUAGGUGGAUAGGCAUCGUAGGGUCACGAGCGUGGCACAAUGUUUCCUCGGGUCACGGUACACCCAGGGGCAGUUGGGGCCAGCGAGCCUCGUAUCGCGCCUUUACGUUGAACCAUGGGGUUAGACGAUAGAGAUCGUUAGGCCCCUCGAUUUCCCCUCCUCGAGCCGAAAGGAUCACAAGAUGGCAUUUACGUAAGAGGGAUGCCAUCGAGCCAAAAAGAUGUACAGGCUAACAGGUAGACACACUGCUAGACCCCUGUGGCCAGUCAAGAGAGGUGUACUACAGCUGGAGCAGUCCACCCAAGCCCUCUUACGAGAUUAGCAUAAUGGUUGGUGUCAACCAUGCGUGCGGACGACUGGUAUGCUACAGCUGAGGCAGUCCACCCAAGUCCCCUUGCAGGACUAGUAUGAUGUUGGGUGUCAAUCAUGAGUACGAGCGGCCGAUACUGAUGCUGAAGGCCUAAGCCCUAAGAACCGAGUCCCGUGGGAUGAGACUAGCCUAAAGGCUCCGAGCUGGCGGUCGACCAGCUUAGUUGUGGUGCUUGCGUAAACUUGAUACGGGAGCUUGCGUACGAUACGGGCGGGCAUGGUGUUGGGUUCUCACCAUGUCAAGAAGUGAUAAUAUCAUCAGAACUGCGACUAGGUGUCCCUACGAGCAAUCGAGGAUCGAGGCUCAAGAUUCAAAGCCCUGUGGGCAGAGCUGGGUGCUCAGGGCUACGUUAAGAAUCAAGGGUUAUGUGCCUCGAUGGGGAUUCGAGGGUCAGUGCUCGAGGCCUUAAGCCUUGCGACCAGAAAGAUCACGGGCUGAUGCGCGAUGAGAGUUGGGUUCCUCUCUGUAUAGUUUGAAAUGAGCGAUCUUAUGGGGUCAAAGCCAGAAAAGGCUCGUGGGCAUGUGGCUUGAAGGAUCGAAAUUGGUUUGUCCGCAAAAAAAAAUGGACACGAUAGAAGGCUGACCUUGACUAGGAUUAGUCUUGGUGCCGCACGAACGCGUGGUUUCAGAAGGAGGAACGCACGGAUCGUGACAGAUUUGGUAUUAGAGCCUUGGUUUGGCUCAGUGGCGAGAUUUACAUGACCCCAUGUGCAGGCCUAAGUGAAAUGAAAUCGAGGUGGUGCCAAGCUCAAAAGGAGCUACCAAGACGCGAAUGCGAUUCUGUGGCUAUGAGGGCUCAGAAAUGAGCUAACGACGCGUGUUGCAGGAAAUAUUGGGCCUAUGUAAAAAGGCUCUCGAGUAGGCUCUUGGAUGCCAAGCAAAAGGGCACCGGAGUCUAGCCUCACCUAGAAAAAAAUGUUGGCAUAUGUUGGGGCAUGGGAUACCUUCACGGUGGAAGGAACCGUAGUGAAAUCAAGAUGCGAAAAGGGGCUUACACCAUGAAAUGGUGUUGCGUAAGGCCAUGUGGGUCGAGUGAAUCUUGUCUUGAGGGGCAGGAGGUAUCGAGUUCCAAGAUUAAUUACUAAUGUGUGCACUUGCUGCAUGGUGCAGGUGCCCCAGCGGAGGUGCAAACCGAAGUAUUUGGGUCCAAGCAUGGAGUCCUUACACAGAGGAGUAUGGAGUGGCUAAAGAUUAAAGCCACGAGUGGAAGGGUCGGUGGACUAUGAGCUGCGUUGGUCAGUGGACCAUGAGUUCUCGUGGUUAGAAGAUCACGAGAGUGUGUGAAUCAUUGAACUGAGUCUGUGUUGGCCGAUAGGAAAGGCUUCACAUGAGCUGUGGAGGUCAGUGGGACACGACAAGGUGUAAUCUGGUGAAACAAGCAAAGGAAAAUGGCCAGUUGACAAGGCCUCAGAAGUGUAGGUCAGUGGACCUUAAGGAGUGAGCGGGUAAAUCCUUGAGUCGAGCAAAUCAGUGGACUAGGCAUUUUGUCGGAUCAGUGGAUCUUCGAGUAUGUGCGGAUUUUGAGAUGUCAUAAGAGCCAUGCUAGAUUCAAGGCAGACAAGUAGUAGAUCCAUAAAGAAGACAUGGUUGCGCAUAAUGCUGCAUCGAGUUUCGAGUAAAAGUGAGGGAGACCUGUCAAUUCCCCAUGAGACUGAGCCGAGACUGAGGAGCUUGAGCAAUGGAGCACAAUGUUCAAGCCGGGAAUAGAGACCGAGUUAGCGUGCGUUAAGGUGCCAUCUUGAGGGCAGUUGGCCAGAGGGCCACACCUAGAGGGGUGACCUUUGAGGGGCCGAGAGGACCCAAGUUAAGAUAUGGCCAAAGUGCCUAAAUGCCACUGUGCUAGGGUCUAUCAUGUAGGGUGCCGUAUGAGUACGAUUGACCUAAGCACCAUAUCCAGAGGGGCGCAUCAGAGGGUUGAUGUUGCAAACGCGCAGUUGGUAUGAGGGGUCACGUCCAGUGGGACGUACCAAUGUGUGGCAAAGCGGGUGGUCAUUCAUUCUACUGAGGGUCAUUGAUCAAUGAGGGUGCUUCGAGGUCGCAACACGACAUGAUCAAGGGAUGAAGCAAUGGUAUGGCCCAUAUGAGAACAACCAAGAUAGGUUAGGCGGUUCGAGCUAGAAUAGAGCUGAGUGACAACGUGAUCCAUCUACAUCAACAAUGGACGAGUACUGUGGGCAAUGCUUUAUGUGACUGGACCUCGACCCAAUUCUUGAGGGCACAAGUGAAAGACAUAUGAGUAAAUGUCAGCUGUGUGCAACAAGAUAGUUGGGAUGUGGUCUUGGCGUCGAUAAGGGCAUCGACAUAGUAAGUGGGGGAGAGUGUAAUGGCCAGGCCUUGGUCCUGCCAUGACUGACCUUGAACCGAGCAGCGAUCAAGAUCAAGCUUGCAAGAAAGUGGCUUUAAGAGCUACGGGCGUGCAUUUGGAGCCUUGGAACAUGUUACUACCAUGUUGUGCGGGCAGUUGGAGCCCUGGAACGUAAGAUAUGCAAGGAAGUUCGGGACGGUGGUCAAGCACCCUCAAGCCAAGUAGCCUGACGGGUGCCACGAGUAGAAGCAGUGUGCGGGCGUUCCGAGCAUGUGAAUAUCUUAGGGAUAUUGUGUGUGAACGAUCCAUGUCCUAAACCCUGAGAUACGCAGGUAAGUAUAAGGCAGUACGUCGAUGCCUUGGGACCAGCUAGCCAGUCAGGUGCUGUCAGUCGAAGCCAUGUGCAGGCACCUUCGAGUGGGUUGGUGGAGCAACGAGCAGAAUCAAGGAGUAGUGGUGACCAAGAGAAAGGUCAUGGGGCCCUGAGUUAGCCGGAGAAAGGCCUUGAGAUGGAUGGAGAGCAAAGUGUCCCCAUUUCAGACAAUCUUACGGUCACUAGUAGGAGACUGAGAACAUCUCUUACGCUCUUUAUAGGGGGACAUCUGGUGUCAGCUCUCCACCACCCCCUUGGCUAGCGGGCAGGCGAGGGCCUGACUAGUCUGAAGUAAGCUAUUCCUAGUCACUAGUGGUGGAUAGGUGGGCGGGCAUCGUAAGGUCACAAGCGUGACACGAUGUUUCCUCGGGUCACGAUAAACCCGGGGGCAGUUGGGGCCAGCGGGUCUCGUAUCGCGCCUUUGUGUUGAACCAUGAGGUUAGACGAUAGAGAUCGUUAGGCACCUCGAUUUCCCCUCCUCGAGUCGGAAGGAUCACGAGAUGGCGUUUACGUAGGAGGGAUGCCAUCGAGCCAAAAUGAUGUGCAGGCUAGCAGGCAGACACGCUGCUAGACCCCUGUGACCAAUCAGGAGAGGUGUGCUACAGCUGGAGCAGUCCACCCAAGCCCUCUUACGAGAUUAGCAUGAUGGUUGGUGUCAACCAUGCGUGCAGGCGACUGGUGUGCUGCAGCUGAGGUAGUCCACCCAAGUCCCCUUGCAGGACUAGUAUGAUGUUGGGUGUCAAUCAUGCGUGUGGGCGGCCGAUACUAAUGCUGAGGGCCUAAGCCCUAAGAACCGAGUCCCAUGGAUGAGACUAGCCUAGAGGCUCCGAGCUGACGGUCGAUCAGCUUAGUUGUGGUGCUUGCGUAAACUUGAUACGGAAGUUUGCGUAUAAUACGGGUGGGCAUGGUGUUGGGUUCUCACCAUGUCAAGAAGUGAUAAUAUCAUGAAAAUCGGGAUUGGGUGUCCCUACGGGCAAUCGAGGAUCGGGGCUCAAGAUUCAAAGCCCUACAGGCAGAGAUGGGUGCUCGGGGUUACGUUAAGAAUCGAGGGUUGUGUGUCCCGAUGGAGAUUUGAGGGUCAGUGCUCGAGGCCUUAAGCCCUGCGACCAGAAGGAUCGCGGGUUGAUGCGCGAUGAGAGUUGGGUUCCUCUCUGUAGAGUUCGGAAUGAGCGAUCUUACGAGGUUAAAGCCAAAAAAAAGCUCGUAGGCAUAUGGCUUGAAAGAUCGAAAUUGGUCUGUUCGCGAAAAAAAAUGAACACGAUAAAAGGCUGACAUUCACUAAGAUUAGUCUUGAUGUCGCAUGGACGCGUGAUUUGAGAAGGAGGAAUGCACGGACCGUGACACCCACCCUAUCAUACAAAUGGGAGUUACGGCUGUAAUUAUACCCAUUAAAUAUGAGAAAUUGGUGAAUAAAGUCGAAUUGUAAGAAUUACUAAAGCAGCAUUUUUUUCGAGUAUUUCUAAUCUAAUUCAUCCAAAUAAAUUUAAGUAAAUAUUUUUUUAUAAAUUAAAUUGACCAAUCAAAAAGAUUUUAAUUAUGAAAUAUAAAAUAAUUUAUAACGUCAUAGUUCUAAUUACAAUGAAAUAAAAAUUUAUUAAUCUUAAUUUAACAAUAAAAUUUUUAUUUUUAUUCUUUAAUAAAAUUUGAGUCCUUAUUCAAUUAUUAUAUUUUAAUAAAAAGAACAUCAUAACUGUCGCGUAGUUUUUAUUAAAAAGAAUUACUUUUUAAUAAAUAAUAAUAGAAGCCAAUUGAUUUUUAAAUUUGAUUUGUGGUUGGAGUUGGUGUUUAAAAGUUAUAAGUUUAAACAAAUUUAUAUGAAUAAUAUUUUUUUUAAAUAGAUAAAUAUGAAAGUAACGGGUUCCAUAAUAGAUUAAAAAUUAUAAAAACAAAAAAUAAAAAGCAACAAUUACUAUAUUAAUUAAAGUUUUAUGUACUAACAUAUACUACCGAUAAUUGGUGAACACUUGAUAAUUUGCUUUUAAAUAAAAAAAAUAGUAAAAUCCGAUUGACCAUUAAAUUUGGUUUGUCAUUGGAGAUAAUGUUUGUAGGUUACAAGUUUAUAUAUUCUUUUUCAAUCAAGUAAAUAUAAUAAUAAUGGAUUCAAUGAUAGAUUAAGAAUUUUAAAAAUAAUAAUAUAGAAAACAAUAUUUUAUUAUGUUGAUUAAAGUUUUUAUGUCCUAACACUACUGAUUUCAUAAUUGAUGAAUAUAUUGGAGGACUGAUUCCGCUACUUAAUAAAAAAAAUAAAAAUUUUCAUUACCUUACCUAAAGACAAUUAAUUACUUUUAAUUAAAAUUAAAAUUAAUAUUUUGUUAAUCAUUUUUAUUUUUAAUUAAUUUUCAUUGAUUUUAAUAUUUAAUUAAAAAUCAUUUAACUUUAAUUACAAAUUUAAUUAAAAGUGCAUUAUUCAUCUUUGAUAAAAUAAUAGAAAUGUUUAUUAUUUUUUAAGUAAUGGAAAUAUCUUUUCUGCUUUUAUAAAGCUAGCUAGAGAAGCAAAGCAAUUCUAAUCAGGCCGUGGCAAUUCUACAUUUUGUUUUUUUUCAUCAAGUCGAUAUGCAUUUAUCCAUCUUUUUCCUUCUUAGAGUUCACAUCAAGACGACAUCGUGUUUUCUAAUACUAGCUAUUAAUCACUAGCGAAUUAUUGCAAGUUGAUUAGUCAAAUAUUUGAUGAUUUUAUGGGGAAAUUUACGAGUGGCACACGAGAAGAAACUCCAACUAAACAUUGCCCAUGUAUAGCAUAGACAUGCAAUAGAGGGAAAUCAACCUUCAAACUCUUGUUCAUGUACUAGUGUUUCCGCUGUAAGCCUUCAAGUCCAAAGAUGCGGGUAUUGAUACAAAUUUUAAUCUAUUCUUUCAACUCUAUCCAAGUACUACAUAAUUUACAAUGUUUGACAAUCACUGGAUAUGAAAGCAGUUUAGAAGCAUAAAUGACUUUGACUGUAGAGUAGCUGCCAAUUCCCUGUUGACCUUUGGAUCCUUGCUCCUCCAAGCAUGAUGAAAACAGUGAUUUUGCAACCAGGGGGACCAAGAAAAUAAAUUUCCCAGUUCAAAAAAUGGGAAUGAAAACUGCCAUUUUUCUCAUCUUCAUCUCACUAAAUCUGUGCCAUCCAUUGUGCCCACUAGGUCCUCUGAAGUUGUGUCUGUCUCCUCCGCACUGAAAACAACCAAAACCAGCAGGGUCAAGGAAAUGAAUUUCUAUCUUACAAUGCAUACAUGCAAUAGUCUCCCAUCAAAUCCAAAGAGUAGAAUAUUAAGCUUGAGAAUGAAACAAUAAUUUCUCGUAUUCAACAGUAAGACUCUUUGUUACAAUGUACCAGGGCAAGUUCCAGGUGCACAAGAAGACUCACCUUACUUUCUCCUAAAAUAGAAAAUUCUACUCUGGAAGUGGUUAAGGGAGUGGGAAGAGAGAGAGAGAGAGAGAGUGUGUCUAACCAGAAUUCUUCUUUUUCUUCAAUGAAGCCUGCUUAGGACCUUUCUCCGUCUUGGUAGAAAUAUCUUUGUAUCUUUCAAGUACUCUUUCUUUCUCUUCAGGUAAGCCCAACACCUCAUAUGCAUCUGCCACUCUUUGAACUAUUGAUCUCUCAGGAGGUUUGCGAUCAAAAGCUUCCAAGUCCUUGAAAAGCUUUAUGAUAACAAUAAAGAAUAGGUCAAUACAAAAUAUUGGAUAAAGUAGUUAGUUACGAGAAAAUAAGAACAAGCUAAACUUUUAAUUAAGGAAGACUCAAGGAAAAAAAAAAAAAAGACCAUAACAACUAUCAUAAGAACUUGGACAAUUGCCUCUUAAGAGUAAGGCCUGUCAAAGAUCAGGAAACUGCCUCUACAACAUAAAAUAUUACUUCUGCCAAGGUAUCUUUUCAACAAACUUACACCUGUUUGGAAUAUAAACUCAAACAAAUUGUCUACGGUGUUUGAAGCUUGGUCAGAUAUGGGAAAUAAACUUUAAAGGAUAGACUAAAAAUGUCAAAUUCAGAAAUAUGCAAUAUGAAGAUGCAUAAUCUAGAUGGUGAUUAUCACCACUAUAACUAUGAUUAUGUACAGAAGUUCUUUGAGACCCAACAAUUAACCAUUUAGCACAAUCAUUUAAAUAGCUGCCUCGGUCGCUCAGACCAAGUGGCAUCAUGGUGAGGCACCUUGCACCAUCUUUCAUCCAGGAUUUUAUUUCUUGGUGGCAUUUGGGCAUGCCAGGAAAUGUGAAGUUAUUGGGGCAACAAACAGUGUUACUGGUUCCAGUGGUGGGAAGGGGGAGGCAGGGAGCAAGGCAACAGGUGAAGAUCCUGGCAGCCAGCAAGAGAUUGAGCAGAUAGCCCAAGUGUGAUGGAGACGUGACAAGUGACAAGCAGGAAUUCCUUUGUGUUGUGCUUGUUCCCCACGUCCUAAAAUGGGCAAGCAUGGGUUGCAGUUCAGUGAUAUGACUGAGCUAGAGAUGGUUCACAUCGGGCUGCUGCCAUAGGGUUAGCCUUGUUCAAUCAAACUUUCCACUCACCACCAAAUUAAUUUGCUAUUUAUGUGCAUUUUCCAGUUGGCUAAUUUUGACAUGAUGUCUCUCCAAUCAGACUUUGUGACAUGAUGUCUCUCUGUCAAUUUUAUUGAGGAUUUGGAUUUUUUACUCCCUUGUAUCUCACCACACUAUCUCCAUAAAAUCACUUUUUCUCCCUGAAAUCUUAUCAUCAUGACAUUAAUGUGGUCAAUUAAUUCUUAGAUAAUCCCAUAUCAUCCCACUUUCUCUCAUCUGUCAUCGUUACCUGAAAUUUCUACGGAUUCCGCUUGCCUCCUCUCUUGCCUCUUCACCUCUUCCUUGUUACUUGCUUGCAACACAACCCAGAACAUGAGCUCAGUAUUGAAAAAACUUUCCUCUAAGACCAGGGAACUAGACACGUCUCACCCUUAGCAAUUAGAAACGUUAAGGGAACAAUACUGGCACAAGAAAUGCUCAAAUUAGCAGUAGAAAGAAAAAAGGAUUGAUGUUAAACACGCAAAGCCAGCUCAGUUGGAACCUUUUUAUAUACCCGGUAGGGCUGUCCUCAGUCUUAGGAAACAUCCAGCAUGUCCACAUCUGUAAGAAACUAAUUCAACAGUCUUUUCCUAAAUUUUUCACGAGUUGAAAUACUUCUUUAGCUAAUUAUGCACUGAUUGCAAAUGAUAAUGGUGGUAACUGGUGAUCCUAGUAGUUAUACAUGGUUGGCCAAGCAUCAUGACCUCAAGUUUAUGGUGGCAAUGACUUUACAUACAAUUUGCUCAAAAUGGCUUUAGAUAUGCAUUGACAUCACUGGACCCAUUGUGUGGCUUGUUUCAAGGCAUAGCUCCCCCUAAGGAAGCAUAACAGCUGCUUGCACAGGCCCUUACCAUUUAGGCCUUUCCUGCUAUUGGUUCCCAAAUGAGUAGAGGCUUGUAUGCUCGUACCUAUAGAGAAGUGUUACAAUUUUACUACCCCACUACCCUUUCAGCAGGUAUUUAUUUUGUUUUAAAGAUUUUUUUCAGUUUAGUUUGAUUUUUGUUCAACUACUGCAAGUAAAAGAAUAAAGAUACUCUGAAAGCUCCUACAAAAUAAACUAGAUAUUUUCAGCUUUUUCCAACUGAUGACACAAAUUAUACUAAAACUUGUAAUAUAAAUAAAGGAAGACAUAAUUACCAAAGAUCAGGAAUAUGAAAUGCAUGUGUAAUAGAUGAUUAACUAACGAAUAAGAUUAGACCAAUCAUUUAUAACAUGUACCUACAGUUCAAAAUGCAUAUAAUUGACAGUUAGCGAAACAAAAACAUACCUUUACAAGAUUCUCCAGCAUGUUGUUUCGAUAGUAUACAGAUAUCAUGAGUCUGCAUAACUGCCAAGGCACUGAAUGUAGAUCUGCACUGACUUUCUUCACCCAAAACUGAUGUGCUUCCUCUGCUCUAUUAUCCAUAUCCAAAGCUCGUAGUAACUGUACAUAUGUUCCCAUUGUGUUUCCCUGCCCCUUGCUUAGCAUCCAUUUAAUAACCUAAGAGGGAAGAACAGUUGUUGAAUUCACAUCCAGAGACUUGACAUGAUUCGUGAAAUUUGAAGCAGGAGGUACUUAAGUAUACAAUUUGAAGAUUUUACUUUUACCUUUCCUCUUACAAGUAAAAGUAUUAAUUAAAACAGCAACAAACUGAAAAAAAAAGUACUUUGUAAUAUGGGGAAGGCAACAACUCAUGCUUAGCAUAGCAGUUGUUACCCUCUUUAAGAGGAUUUAGGCCCAAAGUUAGAAUCCUCCCCUCCCCCUUGUAUCUCCCAUAUGUACCCCAAAAAAUAAAAAGUGGGGAAGGCUAAUACUGAUUGAAGUGCCCUCACCAAAACUAUUCUGAUAAAAGUGAGACCAUAAAAUUGAACAUGUUAUAGUAAGUAGAGCCAUCUGUUCCUGUCAAAAUGAAAAUCAAGUCUAAAUAAUAAGCAAACAAUCAACCUUCUCUCUUGAUUAUUUUUGGAUAUUAUUCUUCUUGCAAGUGGUUGUUUCCAAUGUGUGCAAGACUUGCCCUAACCUACACCAAGAAACAUAAGAAGCCAACAGCCAAGAAAAUGUACUUUUCUUACUACUACAAAGAUUAGUUCACUUAUUACCAAGAACCCCAAGUACCCUGGAUGGUAUCUUCUUUCUUAACUUGUGAUAUAAAAAAAAAAAAAAAAUCACAAGUAAACUAACUAAACAUUUCAAGUGACUAUGUAAUAACGUGUGAUGCAAAGAGAACAUAUAUCAUUCAGACACAGAGAGAGAAAGGGGAAAGCUCAUUAAAAUGCAAAAAUAUAAGUGGAGUGAGACUAACUGCUGAUACCUGAACAACUCUAUGCCACUGAUGCUCCUUCUCAAGAGCAAGGAUUACAUUUUUAAGAGGUCCAAUAGGAAAAUUCUGCUCCCAAGCAACCCACGCAUCAAGAGCACCAUAUACAGCUUCUUUGCUGUCUUUAAUAUCAAGAAGCUGCAUAGAUAAAGUUACAUUACCAAGUUAACAACUGAUUUUAGCAUGCAAAAUUAAAGCCACAAAGGAAAAUAAAAAAGAUGAUAAGCUUUUGUACUUACUGUAGUUACAAGAAAUUUAAUUUUAUCCUUUCUUGAAACAUUCUGCCCAAUUUGGUGCUUCAGUAUGCCUCCAACAUUUGGUUUGGGAUAGAGAUUCUCAGCUUGGUUAUUACAUCGAUCCUUAAAUGAUUCCCAUAUCAAUUAAGACAAUAAAAAAAAUGAACUCAACAACACAAAAAGUUGAAAAAACUCAUCUGAAAUUAAGAGCAUUUAAAAAACAGAUGGAAAAUGAUUAACAAAUUAAUAAGAUGAGGUAUCUCUGUAAACAUCUAUUAUAUUUGUGAAAUCAUGCUUUUCAAAAAAUAAAGAAACCCAUUUUGUACAAGAAGUAAGCACAAAAAGGAACUUCAGAAAUAAUUGUUUGAUCCUUCUUCCAAUCAUAGAACACCUUAAUCAAACAUGUUUCAACUUGAAGGAUUAUUUUGCCAUUUUUCCCUUCAUUCUAUUUUCAGUAAGUCAGAAAAAGUUUCUCGUACUCUAUUUCGUUCCUAUAAAAACUGACAUUCAGAAGAAAAGAAGGAAAAUGAAUAGAAAUAAGAAGAUGAUCUGAAAGAUUAAAUGGAAAUUACUGUAAGGUGAUAUUUGAUGACAAAUUGAAAAUUAAAAAUUCCAAUUAUUUGAAAAUUAUAUUUUAAAUGAUUUAAUUUUUUUUCAAUUUGCUAGUUACUCAUUUUAAGGACCACUUAAUAUAAUACUUUCAAUUAAACUGCAGAAAUAUUUAGUAGUUUAAUCCAACUUAUUUCAUUCAGUCAAUAUUAGUUUACUAUUACACUACAUUAUCCCAGUGUGUUAUUAAAGGAUCUUCUAUGCCAUCUUCUAUUUCGUAAAUCUCAUUAAUUGUAAAAUCACUAAACAAUCAUGUAUUACAAUUGCAAAAAACCUAAGAGUGAUUCAAGACAUAAUUUUCCAUAACACAUUUUCACAUUACAAAUUUAAGACUUAAUUGUGUAGAAAUUUGAUUCUCCUACAUUAGUGCAACUUGAUUUUUUAAUUUAUUUUGGGAAUAUUUCUCAUUUAUUCUUCUAAUUUAGUCAACUAUUCUGAUUGUCAAGCUUUUAGGGAUUUGUUUUUAUUUUGGAAUAGAAUAAUUCUCCUUCUUUUAUUAUUUUUUGUUUUCUGUUUCAUGUAAGUUGUUUUCUAAUAAGAAACUUUACUGUUCCUAUUUAUUUAGAUGUACUCCUUCAUUCUAGAGAGAAUAAGAAGAAAUAAGGACAAUUGUUCUUUAAGUUUUCUACAUAGUAUCAGAGUAAGUCAACAAGAACCAUUAAACUGUAGCCACAUGAGUUUUUGUUAUGGCUAGCAAGAGAGAGAACUCUUCUUCUACAGAGGUAUGGCAUAAGGAAAGUCACAAAGAAGUGAUGCUCUAACAAACCCUUCAAAACAAGUCUGCAACCUUUGGAACUAGUUUACUAACACAAAAAGGUAAUUUCCUAAACGCCUUAAGUGUUCAAUUGGGGAAAUAUACAAUCUUGGAUUGUUGAUUCAGAAGCAUCGGAUCACAUGAUUGGAGAUGCAUCCUUAUUCAACACAUAUAGACCUUGCAAUGAUAGUUCUGCUAUAAAAAUUGCUGAUGGCUCUCUCUCAAAUGUGGCAAGAACAGGUUCUAUUGUAGUUUCGAAAUACAUAAUACUUGACUCUAUCCUCCAUGUCCCUAAUUUAGAUUGUAACCUACUUUCCAUCAGUAAGCUUAUGAAAGAUAGAUGUUGUGUCAGUAAAUUUUUUUCUCAACUUGUGUGAAUUUUAGGAAUUGGGCUCAGGGAGGAUUAUUGGCAGUGCUAGGAUGUGUACAGAGCUCAACCUUCUUCAAGAUGAUGCACUUGAGAAACCACAAAACUCUUGUACAGUCUUAGCCUCUAGUACCAAUAAGGAUGACUUUAUCACGUUAUGACAUUAUAGAUUAGGACAUCCAAAUAUUUCAUACCUAAAAUGGCUAUGUCCCUCAUUAUUCAAUAACAUCUCUAAAGAUUUUCAGUGUGAAACUUGUCAACUUUCUAAGCACACUCGAAAUGCCUAUCCUCGCCUUUCCUAUAAAUCAUCCCAACCUUUCUCAAUAUUCACAAUGACAUUUGGGGACCGUCAAGAUUUAAGACUAUCACAAGUUCUAGGUGGUUUGUUACAUUCAUCGAUGAUCAUACUCGACUCACUUGGGUAUUCGUUAUGAAAGAAAAAUUCAAGGUUAGCCAAAUCUUUCAAAACUUCAUCAGCAUGGUACAAACCCAAUUCCAAGCCAAAAUCCAAGUCCUGAAAACAGACAAUGGAAGGGAAUACUUGAACUCUAUUCUCGGCUCUUACCUCACAAAUCAUAGCAUUAUCCAUAAAAGCUCUUGCGUUGACACUCAAUAGCAAAAUGGGGUUGCCAAACGCAAAACCAAAAAAUUUGAUAAAAGUGACCAGAUCCCUCUUGUUGACUUCCAAUGUGCCUAAAUAUUUUUGGGAAAAAGCUGUCCUCACUACAACUUAUUUGGUUAACUGAAUGCCUUCUCGAGUUCUUGGCUUUCAAAUACCGUGUCAAACUCUCCUUGCUUCCUACCCGCAAACUCGAUUGAUCUCUUCCAUUCCCAUCAAACUCUUUGACUGCAUUGCCUUUGUUCAUAUUAGCCAACAAACCGCUGCAAGCUUGAUCCCAAAGCCUUAAAAUGAAUCUUCUUUGGUUGUUCCCCAAACCAAAAGGUCUAUAGGUGUUACUCACCCAUUAUAAAAAAAAUUCUAUAGUUCUAUGGAUGUCACCUUCUUUGAAAAUCUUCCAUACUACAGCGAGAAUGAUAUUCAAGGGGAUAAUACUACUCAUGAAUAUCAAUUCUUAGCUGUUGACUUGUCAAUUUCUCAAGCAGCCCCUUCAAAACCAGAUUCCCAACCAAAUUCUCAACCUACCCAACCUAUUAGCCAUGCAAAUUCCGAAACCCAAUCUGUUCAAACAACUCUUUGACUUUUCAAACCCUAAGGUUAUGCAAGAAAAAACAAAAAAAAAAACUAAUAGUCUACUAAAGGAAGCAAAAACCAUAGGAAGAUGUGGACAACUAUACACAGCCCAGCACUAAAAAUCAACCUGAUCUGAGUCUCCAAGAACCUGAAACUAACACUAGUAAUGUCCCUAUUAAAUCUAAAACUAAAACUUGUGAGCUAGCUGGUGACCUUGACAUGCUUAUUGCAUUAAGAAAAGGCGUCAGAUCAUGCACCCGGUACCCUAUUUGUAAGUACAUCUCAUAUGACAGGUUAAAUCCAAACUUUUGAGUCUUUACUACUAACCUUGACAAUGUGCAAAUUUCAAAAAAUUUUCAAGAAGCCCUCAAUGAACCAGAUUGGAAGGUAGUGGUUCAUGAAGAAAUAAAGGCACUAGAGAAGAAUUGGACAUUGGAAAUUUCAGAUUUGUCCAAAGGAAAGAACCCAGUUGGAUGUAAGUCGAUGUCAAAAUCUAAUCUUCAUUAUUCUUGAUUAGUUGACUUUGUCUAUUUUAGUUAAAUCUCUUAUUUAUAGAAUAAGGAGUGAUUUGAGUAAUUACACCAAAUCCAUUAGAUAUUUUACUAUUAUGUGUAGAGAAUAAAUUACUCCUUUGAUUAAUUGUUUUAAUGCAUGAAAAUCUUUCAUUUUAAGGCUGAGAAUAUUCAAUCUUUAGCUUACAUAUUUUCAUGCAAGUCUAGCAUUGUAAUAAAAUAUAUAUAUAUAUAUAAGAAUAAAAUAGUUUUAUUCAAGAGAUUUCUUAAUGGUAUUAGAGCACAAUAUGAACCUUUGAAAAUUUUCACUCAAACUCCAACAUGAGCAACCGAAAAGAGAGCCUGGACUCGGAGGUUACCUCUAACUUUGGAGCUAGCGUUUCCCAAUCACUGUAGAACAUUAUCACUCCUAUUCGAACAAGUUCUUUAGCCCAAAAAGGUAAUUUUCUAAGUGCCUUAAGUGUAAAAAUAGAGAAAUCAAAUUCAUAGAUUGUGGAUUCAGGAGCUUUAAACCAUAUGAUUGGGGAUGCAUCUUUAUUUAGUAAAUACAACCUAUGUCAUGGAAACAUCACAGUUCAAAUUGCUUAUCAAAAGUAACCAGUACAGGUUUUGUUAUUAUUUCCAAAAAGAUAACACUUGAUUCUGUUUUGUUUGUCCCAAAUCUAAGUUGUAAUCUAUUGUCUAUAAACAAACUUACAAGAGACCUUAAGUGUGCUAAUAAAUUUCUUCCAAAUAUGUGUGAAUUUCAAGAUUUGAACUCAGGGAAGAUGAUUGGCAAUGCUAGGAUGUGUGUACGACUCUAUAUCCUAAGAGCUAGUGAUUCUAAAAGACAAUAUCAAAAGACCUUUUGUGAGGCUUUAUCUUCCAGUAAUAACAAAGAUAGUACUAUAAUGUUGUGGCACUAUCGAUUAGACCAUCCAAAUUUUUUCUACCUCAAAAGGUUGUUUCCCUCAUUAUUCAAUCAAAAUCCUAACAAAUUUCAGUGUGAAGUUUGCCAACUAUCCAAACAUACUCAUACCACAUAUCCUAAUUAGCCUUACAAAUCAUCCCAUCCUUUUUCAAUGAUACAUAAUAACAUUUGGGGUCCCUCCAAAGUAAAUAACGUUACUGGCUCUUGAUGCUUUGUUACAUUUACUGAUGAUCACACCAAGGUUACUUGGGUAUUCCUUAUGAAGGAAAAAUCAGAAGUGGGCCAGCUAUUCCAAAACUUCAACAAUAUGAUCCAAACUCAAUUCAAAACCAAAAUCCAAGUGUUGAGAACCAACAAUGGGAGAGAAUACUACAAUUCAAUUCUUGGAUCAUAUCUAAUUAAGCAUGGUAUAAUUCAUCAAAGCUCAUGUGUCAACACUCCUCAGUAGAAUGGUAUUGUUGAAAGAAAGAAUCGACAUUUGUUGGAAGUUGCAAGAUCCCUCAUGAUGGCUGCCCAUGUACCUAAGCAUUUUUGGGGUGAGGUUCUUCUUACUGCUACAUAUCUUAUAAAUAGAAUGUCUUCUCGAGUCUUUAAAUUUCAAAGCCCUUACCAAUCCUUUCUUAGUUCCUAUCUUCACCUUCAAAUCAUCUUAUCUAUUUCCAUUAAAGUGUUUGGAUGCACUGCAUUUGUUCUUACCAGCCAACAAAACCAAAGCAAAUUAGAUCCCAAAUCCAUCAAAUGCAUAUUUCUUGGAUACUCCCUGAAUCAAAAAGGAUAAAAGUGCUACUCACCAAUAACAAAGAAAUUUUACCAUUCCAUGAAUAUUACCUUUUUUGAAAAUCAACCUUACUUUACCAAAAUUGCCAUUCAAGGGGAGAAUCCAAUCACAUGGGAAUAUCAGCUUUGGGAAGAUCCUAUUAUCGAACCACCAACCACUUCUCAAACUCCCUUUCACGUCCAAAACAUCCAACUAGAUCCUCCCUUUCAAGUCCAAAACAUACAACUGGAUCCUCCAAGCCCAAAGUCCACGUAAGGGAAAACAAACAAAGAGUUGAUUAUCUAUUCAAGAAGACAUAAAACUCAAAAGGAUCUAUUAGAAUGUACUCCUUCAAAGCAAAACCAAGAAUCUGAAUUGAUUCCAAAGAUAUUUGAAUCCAACACAGGUAAAACUCUUACUGAAUCUAAUUCAAUUGAAUCUUUUGAUGAUCUUGAUCAAUCGAUUGCUCUAAGAGAAGGUGUGAGAUCAUGUACUCAACACCCAAUCUGUAAUGUGGUUUCUUAAGAAGGUUUAUCAUCCAGUUAUCGGACUUUUGUUACUACACUAAAUAAUAUGCAGAUUCCCAAUAAUAUUCAUGAAGCACUCAUGCAAGCAAAAUGAAAGAUGGCUAUUUUGGAAGAAAUCAAGGCCCUAGAAAAAAACAAAACAUGGGAGAUUUUAGAACUACCCAAAGGGAAAAUUCCUGUUGGGUGCAAAUGGAUUUUUACUGUCAAGCACAAUGCAGAUGAAAGUAUUAACAGAUUCAAAGCUCGCCUUGUUGCAAAAGGAUUUACUCAAUCUUAUGGUGUUGACUAUGAGGACCAUUUUCUCCAGUUGCUAAACUUUGUUCAAUCCGAGUGUUAAAUCUAAAUUGGCCACUCCACCAACUAGAUAUCAAAACUGCAUUUCUUAAUGGUGACCUAGAAGAAGUUUACAUGGAAAUCCCUCCAGGAUUCAAAAAUUAGGGCAAUUCUGGCAAAGUAUGCAAGCUUCAAAAGUCUUUUCAUGGUCUCAAACAAUCCCCACGUGCAUGAUUUGAUAGACUAACAAAAGUGGUAAAGAAGUAUGCUUUUUCACAAUGCCAGACUACCUCUUGGCAUGGAGGUAGCUUGCUCAAGGAAUGGCAUCUCUGUUUCACAGUGUAAGUAUGUCCUAGACUUACUAAAAGAAACCGAAAUACUUGGAUGCAAACCUCUUGACACCCCUAUAGAUACAAUGAAUAACGUACGAAUGGAAGAAGGAAGUCCAAUAGAUAAGGGCAAAUAUCAAAGACUCAUUGGGAAACUCAUCUACCUUUCUCAUACAAGACCAGAUAUUGGUUUUUUAGUUAGCAUGGUAAGCAGAUUCAUGAACGAUCCAAACGAGGAACACUUGAGGGCUGUGUAUCAAAUCUUACAGUACCUAAAGAAGAGUCCUGGAAAAAAGGUUGUUUUUUAAGAAGACAUCAUGCCAAAAUGUUGAAAUUUACAAUGAUGUUGAUUGGGCUGGAUCCAUUAUUGACCGAAAAUCAACUAUUGGUUAUUGUACCUAUGUGUGGGGAAAUUUAGUUAUUUGGCGAAGCAAGAUGCAAUCUAUGGUGGCUAAAUGUAGCACGGAAGCUGAGUUUAGAGCUAUGUCUCAUGGUAUAUGUGAGGGAAUUUGGCUAAAAAGAUUGCUAGGGGAGUUAAAGGUCUUUGUAAAAGAAUCCAUGAAGAUAUUCUAUGACAAAAAAGCUAUCAUAAGCAUAGCAAAAAAUCUUGUUCAUCAUGAUAAGACAAAACAUGUGGAGAGUAAUCGUCACUUCAUCAAAAAAAAGAUAAGAGGAAAGAAUUGUUAGAUUAGUUUAUACUUCCACAUGCCUCCAAACUAUAGACAUACUCACUAAGGCUCUCUCUCAUAACAAUUUCGAGAAUCUGAAGUCCAAGCUAGACAUGAUUGACAUCUACCACCCAGCUUGAGGGGAAGUGUGAAAAUCUAAUCUUCAUUAUUACUUGAUUAGUUGACUUUGUCUAUUUUAGUUAAGUCUCUUAUUUUUAGAAUAACGAGUGAUUUGGGUAAUUAUACUAAAUCCAUUAGAUAUUUUCUUAUUAUGUGUAGAGAGUAAAUUACUCCUUUGAUUAGCUAUUUUAAUGCAUAAAAAUCUUGGGUUUUAAGGGUGAGAAUAUUCAGUCUUUAGCCUAUAUCUUUUCAUGCAAUUCUAGCAUUGUAAUAUAAAAAUAUAUAUAAAAGAAUAAAAUAGUUUUAUUCUUGACAUUUCUUCAAUGGAUCUUCACAAUAAAGCAUAAUGUAGAAGGAAGUAUAAACAAGUUCAAAGCUAAACUUCUUGCAAAUGGGUUCACUCAAUCCUAUGGGAUAGAUAAUGAGGAGACAUUUGCUCUGGUAGCCAAACUCAAUUUAAUUAGAAUUCUAUUGUCACUAGCAACCAACUUGGAUUAGCCUCUCCACCAACUUGACAUCAAGAAUGCAUUCUUAAAAGGUGACUUGGAGGAGGAUGUCUACAUGGAAAUUCCUUCUGGUUUUGAAAGGCAAGACAACAUGGGCAAAAUGUGCAAACUUCGAAAAUCUUUGUAUGGACUUAAAUAGACUCCUUGAGCUUGGUUUGAAUGGUUGACCAAGGCAAUAAAGAGGUAUGGAUUCCUUCAAUGUCAAUCUGACCAUACUUUGUUAAGUUCACUAAUGUAGGAAAAAGAGUUAUUGUUUAUGUUGAUGACAUCAUAAUCACCGAAGACCAUAAGGAAGAAAUAGAUGAUUUGAAGAAACUCCUUGUAGAAGAGUUUGAAAUAAAGGACUUGGGGUUCCUUAAAUAUUUCCUUGGGACAAAAGUGGCUUGCUCUAAAUAUGGAAUAUUAGUGUCUCAGCGUAAGUAUGUACUUGAUUUACUCAAAGAAACAGGCAUGAUUGGAUGCAAACCUGCCAAUACACCCAUGGACUCAACUAAUAAAAUUGGAACUAAAAAUGGAAGCUCUCUCAUGGACAAAGGGCGAUACCAAAAACUAGUUGGGAAGCUUAUUCACCUCUCCCACACAUGACCUGAUAUCAAGUUUGCGGUAGGGAUGGUGAGUAGAUACAUGAAUAAUCCAACCAAAGAGUAUCUCAAAGCUAUUCAUUGCAUCCUACAGUACUUAAAAAGAGUCCUAGUGAAGGUUUAAUGGAUAAGGUAGUCGAGGUGUACACAGACGCUGACUAGGCAGGAUCAAUAACAGAUAGAAGGUCCACUACUGGAUAUUGCACUUAUGUUUGGGACAAUUUGGUCACUUGGAGAAGUAAAAGGCAAGCUUUUGUAGCUAGGAGUAGUGCUGAGGCUAAGUUUAGAGCAAUGUCCCAUGGUAUUUAUGAAGGAAUUUGGCUGAUGAGGUUACUUGGAGAAUUAAAAGUUCAGACUGUGACAUCUUUGACAUUGUUUUGUGAUAAUAAGGCUACUAUAAAUAUUACAAAAAAUCCUAUUUAUCAUGAUAGGACCAAGCACAUAGAGCUAGACCGACAUUUCAUAAAGGAAAAGAUAAAAAAUGGGUCGGUCGAACUGGCCUAUAUACCUACAAGUUCACAAAUUGCAAAUAUUCUUACUAAAACUCUUCCUAGAAGCAUUUUUGACGGAUUGAAAUCCAAGCUAAGUAUGACUAACAUUCAUAACCUAGCUUGAGAGGGAGUGUAGAAAUCUGAUUCUCCUACAUUGGUGAAGCAUGAUUUCCUAAUUUAUUUUGGGAAUAUUUCUCAUUUAUUCUUCUGAUUUAGUUAACUAUUUCGAUUGUCAAGUUUUUAGGGAUUUGUUUCUAUUUUAGAAUAGAAUAAUUCUCCUUCCUUUUAUUAUUUUUUGUUUUUUGUUUCAUGCAAGUUGUUUCCUAAUAAGGAACUUCACUGUUCCUAUUUAUUUAAAUGUACUCCUUCAUUCUAGAGAGAAUAAAAAGAAAUAAGGACAAUUGUUCUUUAAGUUUUCUAUAAAUUGUUUAAUAUUUGUAUUUUUUCAAUUUAUCGAAUAACACUUAACUAAAAGUCAUUUUUAUAGAACUUGAAGAUCAAGAAAGAAUGAACCUCUAAUCGAAACUCAUCCUUCUAGGAGUGUAAGGAAGUCAAGUCUACUCAUGAAUUAUUUGGGUUCAACUCAAAAAUUACUCAGAGUUCAAUGUACUUACUAGGCUCAACUGGCUUAUGAAUGUAAUUGAGCUUUUAGUUUUGCAAUAAGUUACACAAUCUCUCUCUCUCUCUCUCUCUCUCUCUCUCUCUCUCUCUCAAGUAUACGACCUUGAUUUUAUCUACAAUGAUAAUCAAGGCUAAUUGAAUAGCUCAACUUACUUUUAGAAUCAAGAUCAAAUUUGAAGAAUAACACUAAAUGAAACUUGAGCCACAAUUAAGGUUUUGAGUAGAGUUCAAGCAUGUAAACUCCGGUGACUCAACUUGGAUAGAUUCUACCACAAGUCCCAACUAACAGACAUAUGACAAGCUUACUAACAAUGAAUGCUACAACUUUGUGAAACUUUACAUUAACUCAAUGACAACAUAGAAACAAAAGAACUGACCUUCACAAUAUGGUGUGCUUCUCUUCCUUGUCCUUUGGAAAUGACCUAUAUAUAAGGCAAAGGGAAUGAAUAACAGAUGAUGAGCAAAUCAGAUGGCCUUGCGGUUUAUUUCUUUUCCCCUUUUUAGGGGUUCCAAGAGACAAGUGAAAUUUUAAAAUUAUAUGGAAACAACAAUGUGUAAACAAAUACAUAUAUUUAUGCAUAUAGGUUGGUCUAUAGUAUCCUUCUUAGAAAUGGGAUUCAUUCAAAUAAUAAAAAAGUUUAAAAAGCAAAAACAAAAAUUUUAGACAUAAAAGCAGACAAAAAAGAAACCAAUUCUAAAUUGAAUGGAGAGGAAGAGGGAAGAGCAGAAAAGUUCAGAAGCUGAGUAUCUGAAUAAAAAGAAGAGCAUCAAAAUUAUAAACCUUAGCAAAGUGUCAGAAAAGGAAAACCAUAAUCCUAACCAAGAAAAAAAUUGAUGAAUUACAUUGUAAACUUACUUUGAAAUUUAAUCAAACAGGUAAUGGGGAUAACAGAUUUCGGCUUCAGUUGUGAAGGAAAACUUAAAAAAAAAAAAAAAAAAAAAUCACCUCAUAUGUGGCAAAGGAGCAACCUCGGAAUAUCAUUUGCGUGGAAUGUCCCAAAAUCUAUAAAUAAUAAUAAUUAUUAUUAUUAUUAUAUAAAAAGGAAAAAUAUAAGUGACUUAUUUACAUGGAAAAAAGAGAAAGGAAAGUGUACAUUUCGCACUGCAAUUCGCAGCAUCAUUAUGGUGAUCUUUCAGGUGCGAUCAGGACGAGACGAGACGAGACGAGACGAUGCAACAGGCAGAGAGAGAGAGAGAGAGAGAAAGAGAGAGAGCUGCUGAAACCAAAAUAAAUAUAAUAUAACUAAUAAUAUUAGUAAAGGGAACGCAGCUCGUGCCGGAAAGACAUACGAGAGAAUGUCCUUUUGCCGCAGCCGCGAACCUGCGAAUCAAGCUACAAGCUUUAGGCUAGUAAAAAUGUCCUAUAUUAUUACUUUUUAUUAAUAAAAUAAAAUGCUCGAGAUGGAUGCGACUAAGCCCACCAAGAAUAGGACGGGCAUGUGGUGGACUCUUGGAAAAAUAGAUAUUUGGAUUGGAUAACUUCACUUGGGUUUAAAUUAUUUUUUAUUAAUAGUUAAUGAUUUCAAUUUAUUUGUCAUGUAUUUUGACUUUUGAGAAUCCAUAUUUUCUUUUUUAAUAUAAAAAAAAAAAAGGCGCUUUUGUUUAUAGGUACUGUGUGUCUUGAAAUACUCUAAGCAAUUAAAGAUAUGGAUGGAUCCGGUUGUCACUUGGUCGAUAAUUUCUUGAUAGGCCUCAAGUGCCUGCCUUCUCGUGCCAUUACCUCUUUAUUCUACUGUAUCUUUUAUUAAGACAAGAAAGUAAAAAUAAAUAAAUAAAUAAAAUUUAAUCUGUGUUAUACCAAAUCAUUUAGUCUACUGGAUCUUAAAAGAGCUCUGCUCCUACAUGACAACGUCAGGUCUGGUAACUAUGAUAAAUGCCUCCCUUACUUCCUGUAUCAUCCAAUUUUUAAGAUAAAUGCCACACAGAUGCAAGAAACUUCAGCAAACUAUAUGGCAGAUCACUGGCUAAGAGUCAAUCCUGGUGCUGAGUGAAAAACGCUUUCCAAUUGCAAGAGCAGUACUUUAGCACAUAGUAGUAAUACAUUCAAACACUAACGAAUUUAAAAAGCAACAAGCAAGCAUGCCAAACAAGGUAAUAUAUAUAUAUAUAUAUGGCAAUAACAUGCAAGUGAUGGACACCUAAUAUUUACAAGAAAUACAGGAAAAAGAAAACUCAAACUUUCUAAUUACAUGUAAAAUUGAAAUAUAAUAGUAAAUCAAAGUAUGUAUUCCAUUGAGUAUGCAAUGGUCUGCACUUGUCCAAGCGUCAAAGCAAGGAUUUUGAAGAAGCUAACAAUUUUUGGCAUUUCAAUUUGUGCAAGGCCUAUUAGCAACCGCAGCAAAAGAUAGAAUCACUACUACAAUGAUUUUGGAUCAUCCAAACAAGAUGAAAGUUCGCUUUGAAAAUAAAAAGUGGCAUGGUACCAAUCUUAGUUUAAGUGACACAAAGGCUACCAUCUUUUAGGAGAAGUUUACUGCUUUGCUGGUAGUGACCUGAGGGCUCUCACUAAACUACCUAUUGCUAGUUCACACUUCAUUGUGCUUCCCAGCCGCUGAGUAGCAACAUCUAAUAAAAGAUUAAUGAUUGAUAACACAACACAAAAAAAAAAAUGCAAAAGCUGGGUUGAGCAUAUGUUUAGCGUACUAACAGCAUACAACUACAUGGGGUUUUGUUCUGAUAAUACCAAAGAAAAAUUAAACUAAAUCUAAACUCAAGCAGCGACAACCUCAAGGAUGUGGACACUAGCACAUACAUAUAAAGAGAAAAACUGACCACACAUCAGACAACGACAGUCUUUAAAAUCCCUUUGCUCCUGUUUGUAAACAGUCACCUUUCAGUCAAGGAACAAUUAAGAUUUCUUUUUCUUCUUCUAAUAUAUUAAGAAUCCACAAGAAUCCACUGAGAACGUAUGUUGAGUCCCAACAUAUCAAAUAUCGAAAUCACAACCAGAGCAAACAGGAAAGAGAAGACCAAAGUACCAAAUUUCCCACACCGCAAACAGCCUCCUGCUCCCCCUUUGGCUCUUGAAGGCAGUGGGUCAGUUUUAGAGACAGAGAGAAAGAGAUGAUGCUUAUCUCUUCAUCUUUCUAAUCAAUAUAGUUUAGGUCCGGCUAGAAACCAUCAUAACGAUGGCUGUCCGAUGGCCAGGGUAAUUAGACAAGUGGUUUGGCUUAUUUCUUUUUCCAUUCAGACAACAUGAAACAAAAAGUUUCUAUUUCCAGUAAUUCUCUCAGUACAGUCUCUCUCUCUUUCUGUCAAGUUCCUCCACCAUUCCAUGAUAUUAUCAGUUCACCUUCAUAGGCUGAGAAAUUAAUGGGACCUCAAGACAUGUGAUGGCUAUAGAUUCUCAUAAAAUAUAAAUCCAUGGAGCUAUAGUUAGAUAUAAAUUUUAGGAGUCAUCACUUUAAUCACCUAAUUGAAUCUUACUUAUUUAAAAAAAAAAUCUAAAACUUAAUUUAGGUAUCUUUAAAUAAUAAAUUUUAAUUUAUAAAAUUAAAUUUUUUAUUUGAAAGUAUGAUUUCAUGUGAAAAAAAUUAUAGCAUUCUCACAGCAUUCAUUCAAAUGAUACCAGUUUGAUUUUAAGUUAUCCAUGUCUUAAAAUAUUUUUUAUAAUUAUUGAAUAAUUUAAUUAUAAGAAAUUGAUCCUAAAAUUAUUCCAAUAGUUUGAUAAUAAUUUAAGAUAAUUUUUUCACUUUAAGAGUAUUCAUGAAAACUAGUGUCUCACUCUAAAGAAACUCCGUCAUCGGAUUCAUUUAAAUUUUAUUUAAAGAAAUAAUUAGUAAAAUCUUCCAAUAGUUUACUAAAAUUUACUUUGAUGUAGAUCUUCCAAUACUUUGAUGAAAUUUUGUUUUAAAAUUAUGUAUGAAAUUUAUUUUAAGAAAAUUCAUUAACCCCUCUAAUAUUUUAGCAAGAUUUAAUUCAAGAUUUUGAUCCUCCAAUAGUUUAAUAGAAUUAAAAAUUUUAUUAAUAUGUUUUACAUAAAAUUCAUUAAGUUCUCCAAUAUUUUGUUAAGACUUAAUUCAAGAUUUUAAUCCUUUAAUAGUUUGAUAGGAUUAAAAAUUUUAUUAUUAUUAAAAAAAAUUAUAUUAUGAAAUUCUCCAAUAGCUUGGUAGAAUUCAUAGUUUAAAUUUUUUAAACCCAUGAAAUAAAAAUUCAUAAUUUAAAACUCAUAAUCUUUAAAUUUUAUUUUAAACAUAAAUAAAAAAAAGUGAAAUAAAUGAAUAAAUAUAUAAAUAAACAAAAUGUGAAAAUUACCUUAAUAGAUGGAGACACGCCUAGGUGGAAGUAUCCUUUGAUCUGUAGUGACAGAUAGUCACCAAUUCCAACUAAAGAGCUCUGCCACCAAUUUUAACUAAAGAGCUUGAGUAUAGAUAUUGCUACUCAUCCAUUUCAUUGUGGGUUUCCCUUUUUUUCUUUUGUGUACGGUUGAUUGUGUUUUAUGUAGGGCAUUUUGUUAGAAAUUUUAUGGAUUUGCAUUAAAUGAAAAAGGAUUACAGAUUUGAUUAUGCUCUGAAUUGAUUUUUUUUUCUUGAUUCUUUUUAAAAUUGAUUUAAUUAAUUUUUGAAAUUAUCUCGAUUUUCCUUGAUUUUUAAAAUCUCUCAAAAUUUCCCAAAUUAAAUCUAACUUUGAUUUCUUUUCAACCUCCAUUUAAUAUUUGAAGAUAUCAUAUUUUAGUUUUAAUUGCUGAGAUUAUCCUUAAUUAUUACUCAAAUUAGUCCAUAUAUUUUAUUGACAUGAUUUAUGAUAAAAAUUUAAAAUCAGAUAAAUACAAAAAAACUAUAAGAUAAAUAAAUAAGAUAGAUAAAUAUAAAAAAAUGUAAGAAAUUGGACAAUUGGGCUUAGAUUAGAUAUGGGCCCAAUUGGUUUAAGCCUUGGACUAAAUAAAAUGUCUACAACUAACCUUUUUAGCAUAGUUUUUGUAAAACAAGAAUUGCACAAAAAAUAUAGAUAUCCAUUACAUUCGAGCCCAAAUUAUUCAACUUUUUUCUUUUUUCUUUUUUUUUUUAAAAGCUUUUCGAAAAUGAAGACACACAACUUUUUAAAAAAUUAAGGACAACACCUAAAGAUUUUGAUAAUCAUGCCCGAAAGUCUUAUAGAUCAUGUCCAAAGAAUUUGAAGAUUAAGCCUGGAGACUUUACAAAUCAUUUAUUAAAAACUGCUCAUUUAAACAAAGGCUACACAACUUUAAAAAAAAAAUGGUACCUAAAAGUUUUAAAAAAUCAUAUCAUGUCCGAAGGACUUGAAGACUAUACCAGGAGGUAUUAGAGAUUAUGCUUGGAGGUCUUACAAAUCUUGAUUCUAAAAUAGAUUCAGUUUAAAAAACUUACGAAUCUUGCCCUGAAAAUUUAGAGAUUACGACCAAAUGUCUUACAAAUCUCAACUCUAAAAAAAAUUAGCUUAAAAGACUUACAAAUUUUGUUCGAAAGACUUAAUGAUCACCUUCAAAUGUUUUCGAGAAAAAAAAUCCUCUAAAAUAGAGGCAUUCACAAUUUUAAAAUUUGAAAAAUGUUCUCCUCACCUAUUUUGUUCGAGUCCAGAAAAACUGAAAAUUUUUAACUUGGAAUCCAAAGAUUCACAAUUUGAAAAUUCAAAAGUUCAUCACAAAACUUCAAAAAUUCACCAGACUUUCAGAUUCACAAGAAUGGAAUAUUCACAAGAUUUUAAGAUUUGUAAAAAUUUCAAAUUCGCUAGAGUUUCAAAUUUGCAAGAUUUUCAUAUUUGCAAGAACUUCAAGUCUGUGAAAGUUCAAAGAUUAACAAGACUUUCAGAUUCGUAAAAAUUUCAAAUUCAUAAGAACUUCAGAUUCGUAAAAGUUUUAGAUUCGCAAGUGAUUUAUAUUCACAAAAACUUCAUAUUCGUAAGAUUUCAGGUUUGCAAGAAUUUUAGAUUUGCAAGAACUUUGAAUUUACAAGAACUUCAUGUUUGUAAGAGUUUCUAUUUCGCAAGAAUUUUCAUCAUUGUAAAGAUUCACAAAUUGUAAUUCACAGACAAUAUUCAAAUAUUCGAAUUCAAAAGAUUUAAAGUUUCAUAUAAAAAAAAUUCAUGAAUUCACAUAAAAAAUUUAAAGGUUCACCUCUAGAAUUAAAAAAUUUUCAUUCAAAAAUUUUAAAGAUUCACACUCAAAAGUUAAAAAUUUCCAUUCGAAAAAUUUAAGGAUUCAUAGCCAAAAUUUAUAUUUGAAAAAUUUUAAAGAUUCACAUUCAAAACUUAAAGAUUUUUAUUUUAAAAACUUAGAGAUUCACAUCGAAAAUUUUUAAAAUUCACAUUUAAAAAUUUUAACAUUUCACAACCAAAAUUUCAAAGAUUCUUAUCCGAAAAAUUUCAGGGUUUCAUUUCCAAAAUUUUAAAUAUUCACAUUUGAAAAAUUUUUUAAAUUCCGAUCCAAAAUUUCAAAGAUUCAUUUUCAUAAAUUUUUAGAGAUUCACAUCUAAAGUUUCAAAGACUCACAUUCAAAAAUUUAAAGAUUCACAUUCAAAGUUUCAAAUAUUCACAUUCAAAAAAUUAGAUAUUCAUAUUCAAAGUUUCAAAGGUUCUUUUUCAAAAUUUUAUAACUUCAUGUCCAAUGAUUCUCAUUUGAAAAAAUUUUAGGCUUCACAUUCAAAAUUUUAAAGAUUCUCAUUCGAAAGGCUCAUUUAAACAAGGGCUCUAUAACAUUAAAAGUUUGGACAAUUUUGCUUGUCAAAAUAAAAUUUCAUAAUGCAAGAUCUUCCUCAUUCAAGAAUUCAAAAGUUAAUCAUUUUCUCCCAACAAAGUCAAAAUUUUUUAUACAAUAAAUGCCAUGAUAUAAUGCCUUCUAAAUGAUACAAAUGCAUGUCCUAAACAACAAUACAGAUGCCAUAACAUGAUUCAAAUAUUUACUACAUGAAAUGCCCCAACAAUGAUGUAAAUGCAAUUUCAAACAAUGAUUUAGAUACUUACCAAAUAACACAAAUGCAUGGUAGAAACAAACAAUGAUACAAAUGUAAUAUUCAAAACAAUGGAUUAAAUAUUCACCAAAUAAUGCAGAUGCAUAGUCCAAUCAAUUAUGCAACUUACAAAUUCUCCAAAUGAUCUAAACCAUUAUGCAGAUGCAAUUAUCAAAGUAAAAACUUAUACAUUUACCAAAUAGUGUAAAAACAAUUAUCAAAACAAAGUAUUUUUGUUGCCCAUUUGAAAAUCAUUUUUUUCCUAUCUAUCAAAAUUCAUAACACUUUAAAUUUCAAAAUUUUCAAAAACUCCCAAAAGAAUGGCAAUCAAUUGCCCCUAAAAAUGCCCUACAUAUAAUUUUUCCAAGAUCAAAAUGUAUCAAUAUAUGACAUUUAAAUCUCUUGAAAAUCGAUGUUACUGCUCAAAAUAAAUUAGUUGAAUCUUGGUUUUUCCAAAAAGAUGAAAUGGCUUGGCAUAUUAAGAUUUCAAUUAUUAAAAAAUACUUUGUCAUUGAAUAAAAAAAAGAAAAUCAAUAUUUAUUCAUCUAAGCUCACCAAUGAAAGUUUAAAUUUAAGAAAUAAUUCUUUUUAAAGAACAAUUCAUUUUGGGCACUCCCUUAGGUUCUUGAUAUGGGACAUUUUAACAAAUAUCAAGACUAACUAUGAUAGGCUCAAAAUUUUUAAAAAGGAAAGAAAAUGUUCAAAUUUUAAAACAAAUCUUCAGAUUAGGAUUUAUCUUCUUGAAUUUCUCAAAGAUCUUCAUUGUUCAUGGGUUCCUUCAAAAUCACCUUCUCUAAUGAACUUGUUUGAGUAGCUUUCAAACUUGCUCUAGACUGUCUUUUCAAGUUUUCACCCUAAAGCUUCAUUCAAUCUUUUUUUUUUCUUUUUUCCCUUUAUUUUCUUUUUUUUCUAUUCCAGCAUACAUUUGAAAACUCACAAUUGAUCCAAAAUUAAAAAAUGAUGGUGAUUUCCUAAAGAAAAACUCUUCAAUUUAGAUAUCCACACUUGAAUAAAAUUGACUUUUUAAAAGAUAUAAUUUGAACUGGGGUUUAGGGUUUUAAAAGAAAAUGAUAAAUAGGCCUAAAAAUGUGUUUAAAGGUAAUCAAACCAAUGAUCAAUUUUCUUUUCAAAGACAUUUGCCUUUUCUAUUUCUCAGAACAUACAUUUUCAUUUUUUUUCUUACAUUUUUUUUUUUUGUUUUUUUUUUUCAUUUUUCCACAUCUUAACAAAUUACCAAAAAUUUUGAAGCUUGUCUUUUGACUGUAAGAAUUCAUUUUUUAUCCUUAACUUUGGAUUUAAUGCUUUCUCAAAAAACCCACUUUUAUAUCUGCCUCUAGUGUGAAAAGUGAUCCAUGGUUGGGGUUUCUUAAAAAAAAAAUUUAAUAGACUCAAAAGAGAUAACAAACAAAUAUUUUCUUUUUGUAAAAAGAAUAUAAAAUAUGGCAAUUUAUCAAAUCAAAUAUGGAUACCUAUAUUAAAAAGAAAUUUUUAAGAAUAGAUUUUUCUUUUAUUUUAAAAUUCUUUAAAUAUUUCAUAUGCAAUUUUUAUUUAUUUAUUUAUUUAUUGCAACUCAAGCUCAUUGUAUCAUCUUAUUACAUCAAAUGAAAUCCCAAUAUAACAAUCUUCAUUUUCAUAACCCAUACCAAAAGAUGAAAUUGAUGCCAUCUAGAAGAAAAAAUAUUGGAAAAAUUGAAUAAUUUGGGCAUUUUGAUAAAUUUGUCCCAAUAUGUGUGCAAAGAAAAAUUUUAGGGCAAUAAAAGAAAGAGAAAAGGAAUGUUGCAUAAAUCAACAUGUCAAACAAAGAUAUUAAGGGGAUAUGAUUUUUUCAGUAAUUCUACCCUAAAAAAGAAAUUGGAGAAGUUUAGGCUUAGUGAAAAAACAUAGGUAAUGGUGUGUUUGAAAUAGUCUUGAAACUUAUCAAAUUGUUAAAAUCUAAAAUCUUCAAGAAAAAGCCGCAUGUAUUGGCUUACAAAAAAUUUUUCAAACAAGAUUUUUGAAACUUCAUUACUCAUAGCCUUAAUAACGAUCAUUGACUUGGAAAUACUUCUUUGUUCAGUGAAAAUUAGGAUCAUAAAACUUGAAAAGUCAAGCUUUGAGUGGUGUGGUGUUCAACUAAAUUAGAGUAUAAAAUGGUAAGUGAAACAAUUGUGUAUGUUCAUUCUUGUUAGCAAUCAUCAAUUCUUUUAAUAUUGUUUCCACAAAAAAAUUUCUUUACAAAGAACAUUUUCCAAUCAUGGAAAGAAAUCAUGUGGGUUUUUAUUGUCAAAUAACUCAAAUGGAUGAAAAAAAUAUAUAAAUAUAUACAGAUACAUGCAUGUAAAUCAUAAUGAAAAAUAGGAAUUCAUAUUUACGUAUCAAAAUUUACCCUAAACAAAUGAAAUAAUGUACAUACAAAAAUGUAUAUACGAAUCCAUGUAUGCAAUAUAUAAUAACAAUAAAAAUUCAUAUUCAAAACUAUGUACAAAAUUGGAAAGGCAAAGAUAUUUCCAAACAAAUGAAAUAACAUACAUACAAAGAUGUUUACAUAGAUUUAUAUGCAAAUACAUGUAUACAAUACAUAAAUGAAAACAAAAAUUCAUACCCAAAACUAUGUACAAAAUUAAAAAGACAAAAAUUUUCCCAAACAAAUGAAAUAACAAACAUACAAAAAUGUUUACAUGCAUGUAUGCAAUACAUAGUAAAAAUUCAUAUUCACAACUAAAAAAAUAAUUACUCUUUAAUUUACAAUUAAGCGUUCACAUCUUUUAAUAUAUGAAAAAGUAAAAUGGAAUAAUGCAUAAAUGAAUGCAUAUAUGCAUGAAUGCAAUAAGAAGGAUUUAAUGAUGUGAAUACAUAUAUAUAUACAAUAAAAAAAAAAGUUAAUAAACAUGAUAUAUACAAAUAACAACAUAAUAUAUAAAGAACAACAUAAAGGGUUUGUAUACAAAUAAUAUAUACAAAGAAUAAUAUAUAAAUUUACAAGCAAAAUAAAUGUUUCAUCAUGUAUCUAUUUAGGAUUUUCUAACAGAAGGGAAAGCAUGGCUCUAACUUGGGUUCGGACCUUUAGGGUUUAUUUACAUGCUAGGUUCAAAAGUUUGAUAGUCUAGAGGUUCCUAAAAUAUUUCCUACAUCAUUAUCCAUUAUAGAUUAAUAAUGUAUUUUAAUCUUCAGCCACCACAGGCUACAGGUGAAAAAUGUUUAACUUCAAUAGGAGUAUUUUGCUAACCCAUGUAGAGAUAUAAAAUCUCAUAAAAGCGUAAGUACUUUACUCCCUUAUAAGGGACGAAGCUAUAGUGUAGAGCUCAUGUUAUCUUAUACAUAUGUAAAUGAAUGACAUAUAUGAAAAAAAUAAUAAACAAAUAAAUAAAACAUAAACAAAAAGAGAAAAAAAUUUUCAAAUUUAUUAAGUUAUGCUUGGAUAACAUGAAAUUAUUUGUGGGCCUGACUCUCAAAGUCUCUAGUGGAGGUGCCAAACUAUCAUAAUGUAUAAAUUCAUAGACCUAUCACUAAACAUAAAUUUUAAGAGUUGCCUUCAAUCUUUUUUAUUUAGGUAUGAUUGGCUAUCUAACUGAAUCUGUCACAUUCUAUCUAACUAAAUCUGUCACAUUUUAAAGAGAAAUCCUAAGCUUGACUUAAGUAUCUUUAAAUAGUAUAUUCUAGGCUACAAAGCCAGAUUUUAGGUUCGAGAGUAUGGUUAACCGCGAGAAAGGUUAUAGCACCCUUACAUCAUCUAUCAAAGAAUGGUACUAGUUUGAUUUCAAGCUAUCCAAGCUUUAAAAUAUUUUUAUAAUUUGUCAAAUAAUUUAAUUAUCAUAAAUUGAUCCUAAAAUUAAUCCAAUAGUUUGGUAGUGAUUUAAGAUAAUUUGUUUACUUAAGAAAUAUUCAUAAAGAUUAGUGUCUCACUUUGAAGAGGCUCUGUCAUCGUAUUCAUUUAAAUUUAAUGUAAGGAAAUAAUCAAUAAAAUCUUUCAAUAAUUUGGUAAAAUUACUUUGAUGUAGAUCUCCUAAUAGUUUGAUAGGAUUGAAAAUUUUAUUAAUAUUUUUUACAAAAAAUUCAUUAAGUCAUCUAAUAUUUUGUUAAAACUUAAUUCAAGAUUUAACUCAUUCAAUAAUUUGAUAGGAUUAAAAAUUUUAUUAUUAUUAUUAUUUUUAAAAAAUUCUUUAAGUCCUAUAAUAAUUUGGUAAUACUUAAUUCAAGAUUUAAAUCCUCCAAUAAUAUAGUAAUACUGAAAAUUUUGUUAUUAUUAAAAAAAAUUAUAUUAUGAAAUUCUCCAAUGGUUUAGUAGAAUUCAUAAAAUUUCUAAACCUAUGAAAUAAAAAAUUCAUAAUUUAAAAUUGACAAUCUUUAAAUUUUAUUUUAAGCAUACAUAAAAAAAGUUAAAUAAAUGAAUAAAUAUAUAAAUAAACAAAAUUUGAAAAUUACUUUAUGAUGAAGAGAUGCCUAGGUGAAAGUAUCCCUUGAUUUGUAAUGACAAAUAGUCAUAUAUUCCAACCAAAGAGCUUUGUCACCAAUUCUAACCAAAGAGCUUGAAUAUAAAUUGCUACUCAUCCAUUUCCUAAUGGAUUUCUUUUUUUUUUUUUUUCUUUUAUGUGUGGUUAAUUGAUGUUUAUAAAAAGCCUUUUAUCGAAAAUUUUAAAGAUUUACAUUAAAUGGAAAGAAUUGUAAAUUUGACUAUGCUCUGAAUUUAUUUUUUUCUUAAUUCUCUUUAAAACCAGUUUAAUUAAUUUUUGAAAUUUUUUUGAUUUUCCUUAAUUUUUAAAAUCCUUCAAAAUUUUCCUAAUUAAGUUGAUUUUGAUUCCUUGCUUUGAUUUUUUUUUCAACAUUCCUUUAAUAUUUGAAGAGAUUAUGUUUUAGUCUUAAUUGCUGAAAUCAUCCUUGAUUAAUGUUCAAAUUACUCCAUAAAUUUUAUUAACAUGAUUUAUGAUAAAAAUUUAAAAUCAGAUAAAUAAAAGACUAAAUGAUAAAUAAAUACAACAAACAAAAUAUAAAAAAAAUAUAAUCCGAUUAAUUUCACCCAAACUAAAUAGGUGUCUACAUAGAUAAUGCAUAUAUAUUUGCAAAGCUCAAACAUAAACAUCUUUUAACAUCAAUUCCCACAAACCCCAUCAUUUCUAUAAAUUCCAAUUAUCAUCAUCACUCUGAUUUAAAAAAUCUAAUCCAACCAUACUAUGAUUCUCAAUAAACUGACAAGUUGAAAUGGAGUUAACUAAACAAUGCACACACUUUGAGAGGCAGCAAGGAAGCUAAUGGACUGAAACAGAAAAAUUAAAAGCAAAUUAAUCUAAAAAAAUCAACCAAGAUAAGCCCAGUAUUCAGUAAGUUUCAUUUGACUGCCAUUGCUUUCAUCUAAUACCAACUACAUCAAUAAGAUAAAGCGAAACAGAGUAAGAGUGUCAAACCUAUAUAGAAUACAAAGAAGCCUCCAAAAGUCUAAACUUACUAUUCAGUUAUCAGAACACAUAAUAACCUUUUACUGGGACAAUCCAAUGUAGAAGUAGUCCACAUAUAAACAACAAGCAAACUUGGAGGCACCUUCAUCAGUUUCAUUUUUACAGUCUCAAAACUGCUUAGAUACACAGAUAUUUAUAUGUUUUACAAAAAUGUAAAUUCUUUCAUAUAAUAGUACCAUUAAUUAUUGAAAGGAAAUGGAAAAAUUAGAUUUAAAAAUUUCUUAUUGCAAUAUUUUUUUCAUUCUUAACAAUCAAAGAUAAGAUGCUAAAAGCCAAAAACAGUAUAGUAGCAUUGUAUGACUUCACCAUGAUCAAGAUACAUAAACUGUUUGAAUAUUCAUAAAAUAACAUAGACCAUCAAAAGACAAAGAACACCCAAAAUCUAAAGCUAAAUCCAAUGCCACAUGACAAAAGAAAAUGAUGAUUGCUAAUCUGCAAGAACAAGAAGCCAUAAAAUUCCACUUAAAACUUAGUUUACUCGGUGGUGUUGAAUAAGACAAAUUAUUGUGCUUCUAGAGUUUUCUUCUUCUUCUUAUCCCUAACCUUGAUGUCAAUGGCGCUUAACUUUUUUACUGCAGUCUUGUUUUUCUUGUUGGAGACAUUGUCACUAUUGAUUUCACUUUUUCUGUUAGCCCCAGAGUUAAUGUCAUUACUAUUUUCAUCCAUGUACUGAACUUGGUGUAUCCUCCCCUUGUUUUUCUUCUUCUUCUGAUGAGAAGCAUCUUCUUCUUCUUCUUCUUCUGCUUGUUUUUCCUCCAAGAGAUCUUUAGAAGAAGGGUGAUCAGCUUCAGCCAGAAUCUUCAAACGCAGAUCAGGCACAGUCUGAUAAAGAGGGAGGGCCAAGCUGUCAAGCAACUUUAAAUGGAACGACCUGAUAUUGCCCCACUUGCUCGGUACAAUCUCUGCAAUCCCGUUAAUAGCAGCUAUCACAUUUUCAACAAUCACUUUUUUUCCCAUGGAAAGUUUCCCCACCUUCACCACGCUGCAAGUUCCACUACUCAAGAACAGCAUAGCAGAGGCACAAGCCUUGUGAAUCUGCUCCUUCCAGUUGUUGUGCUUGAGGUCCACAGGCACUGGAAUCUUCUUCUUUUUGAAAAACUGCUUCCCCAAUAGCCGAGGGAGAAGCGGGAUAAUCCUCUUAUCCGCGAAAAACAUGUCAUAGGUAUCGCAGAGCUUUCUUUUGGCCUCGAAGGGCCGAUAAUCAGUCUUGAGCUUGGAAAGCUUGACCACCUUGCUGAUGGGUAUGUUGUCGGACUUGAUUUUCUUGGACGCAGCAUCUUUGGUGAGGCCUGACUUGGGGCGAUCAUCGAUGACCAUGCAAAGCUCGGCAGGAUCCGUAAAGGGGUCGAUGAGGGGGUGAGGGAGAGGCACUUUGUGGGGAUUAACGCGAGGCUUUUGAGGAAUUUUCUUUAGGCUGACGAUGAGAUACAGCAAUUCAUCCUGCUCAAGAAGUUGGGGCUUUUGGGUAUGGGACUGAGAAUCUCUCCAUUUCAGCAGAGCACUCACAGCUCUCUCCACUCUAUUGGGGCUCACUCCAGAUGAAGCUGCCGCUUCGCCAAUAUUCUUCGCCAUUUAUCUUCUUUCUGCUGCACGCCGCAACUUCUCUCCAAAUUGUUGAUAGGGUUUUAGGGGCUUUUAGGGUUUUGCCAGGAGACCUGGAACGCUUCGAACGCUAAUAGAGUGGACUUUUUAAAUAGAGGUACAACAAAUAAUGAAAAUAAAAGUACAAAAAAAUAAUAAAACAGAAAAUACAAAAAUAUAGUCGCGUGAUUUUACAAUCAUCCCGUUCAAUGCAACUUCAUUUACUUAAUUUCUAUGUGAGAGCGUAUUAUGAUUGAAACUUCACAAGGUGCAUUUUGUUCACCAAUUUUUAGAUUAAAAAAUCUUGAAAAAAGUGAUUUUGAAUUGAAAUAUAUGAUUCUUAAAUUUUGUUCAUCUAAAAAUAUAAUUUUUUAUAUUUAAUUUAAAAAAUAUAUAAAAUUAUUAAAUAAAAUACUUAAUUAUAUUAUCUUUAAUUAUAUAUGAAUAACUUGUGACGUGUGAAUAAUAUAUAAAUAUAACUUAAUUUUCAUAUAACAAAUAAAUAAUAUUAUUUUCAUUGAAAUUAAAAAAUUUUUAAAAAGUAUUUUUUUUUAUAUUUUCAACAAAAAUUAUAUUUUUUUUUAUCUUGAAACAUCAUUUUUAUUAAAUUCUAUGUUUUUUUUUCAUACUUUUAAUAAAAAUAGCAUUUUUUAAUUAUUAAAUUUUUUUUUCAUAUUUUAAAAAAGUCACAUUUUAAUCAUAAUUUUUGUCAAAAAAUUUCAAUAACACUGUUUUUAUCUAAAAUAUAAAAAAGACAACAUUUUUUACAUAAAAACAUAAUUUUUGUUAACAAAAAUUACAUAUUUUAUUAAAAAAACGUAAUUUCUAUUGAAUUUAUAAAAAUUUAAAAAAUAAAUUCUCAUAAUAUAUCAACAAGCAAACUAUAAUAUAUAUAUAUAUAUAUAACAUUUUCAUAAUAUAUUUUCAAUGAUGAUCACAUUUUUAAUCUUAAAAAAGUGACUUAUUUAAAAUAUAACAAAAAUCUCGUUUCUAAUUAAAAAAAAGUUAUUUAAAAUUUUUUUAUUAAUUUAACUUUUUUUUUCUCUUUCUUUUUCUUUCAUACCAAAUACAAUAAAAAAUAUUUUUUUCAACUUUUUCUUCUUUUUCUUCCUGCCAAACAUAGUACUAGGCCCAUUUAGAAGGAAAAAAAAAACAUGAACUUUAAACCAUGCAUCAAACUGCAAAAAUCAGGAGUCGCCUUUUCUGUCUGCAUUUUAUGUUAUCCACAUCCCAGCUAAAGCAGAACCAUUUUCUUUUCACCACAUUUCUUACAAUUAUCGAAUCACCAAUGAAUUGUACGCAGCUCAACCAUUUGUGAUUGUCGAGUCCAUGUGAGCUUAUAUAAAAUUUGGAUGGGCCUCACAAGUCAGUUGUGAUUAGACAGAUUUAUAGUUGAUAUGGUCUCAAACAAAAGAAAAACUGACCAAACAAAAGAAAUAAGGUACCGAGCAGGAACACCAUUUGAAAGGCAUUACAUGCCACGAUUUGGGCAGGCACUUGCAAAGUGCGAUGGAUCACCACAAACAUAACACCUUCUGCUGGAUACGGGAUCCCCUGUUGCUGACACAAAAGUGACGUCAGCAGUGCGUGCUCCAUUGUGGCCAAAUUGACCGUGGCCACCUCUCCUUCUGGAAUUGGAUGCUGAACUAUUGAUGCACUCACGUGGAAUGCUUCUUCCGCCAUUACCAUUAUUGAGGGUGUCCUCCCAUCUGCAUGAACAAGGUUUGAGUAAACCAGCCAUUUGAUGAAGCAUGUAACACAAGGACAUGUCUACUUUAGGCAUGAACAUUACACAAGAUUUAUAUCAGAUACACCUUCCAUGUAUCUUAUUUACAAAUGAAAAGCAAAAUAAAUCACUGCAUGUCUUGUUCGCCUCAUGGCACUAUUGAUGAAUUUUAGAGCACCUUAUUAAGUUAUACCAUGUUGUUCACAAAGUAAAGAAGUCAUUACACAAUAAAAAAUCAAUGAAAAUUAUUGUCGUCCCUUAUCAGAUGUAAUUGAAUAAGCAUUAAUGCAAUUACAACUCUUUGAACAGUUGCUCAUCCCUGUUUCUUUAGGAUGCUGAAUUAAACUAUUGAAAAACAGAAAGGGAACCAGUAGUUCACUAGAACAGUCUCACAGCUUAUUUACGAAAAAAGGUCCAAGGAAUAGAGUUCCAGGUUUACUUACAUAAAGAAAUUGCAUUCUUGUGAUGGACAUGAGUAGAACUUUCUUCCCCUGUUAUUUGCUGUAUUAGCAGUUCGUAAAACACAUGGUGUUCUGCAUGUGCUACAGGAUAUUGAAGGGUCCCCUGCAUAAAUGGAAAUAUCAUAAAAAUAGAAUUCAGAAUCAGAAGCUCUGCUGUAAGGAGCCCCAUUUCAUAACGAACACUUCAGCAGCCAAUGAAGGUAUAAGUUGAGAUGAUUGUGAAUUAUGUUCUUCUCAAUACUAAGCAUGCAUGCCUAUGUCUUUGAAGCCAGUGACUGCACCAUAAACAACAAUGAAAGGCUAGCUAUGCUAGUCAGGAUUCAGGAAUUCAGGAAUUCAGUUAAAACAAAACUAAAAAUGAUGCAACUAGAACUGUGAGUGAAGCAAGUUUCUGAUAGAGUUUUAUCAAGAAGAGAAUACUCUGCAAAGAGUUCCGAUAUUGGGUUGAUUAUAUUUUCCAAAGAGCUUCAUCAGGAAAGCUCUAUGAGCCUUCCCUCCUCAGAAAAGAUAUGAGGACCCUGGCUGCGGCAAAAGGUUCUAUUAAGUAUGAAAUAAUUGUGAUACUCUACAACCUUGAAGGGCUUUAUAGUGCAGCUAAAAAACCUGUUAAAGCACUUUAGAUGCUUAGGGAGAAUUUAAAGGAAAAAGCAAUUCUUUAUCAAACAAGGCCUACCUAAUAAACCAAAUUUUCACUUUAGGAACACUUUAAACUUUUUGAGGUGAAGUUGGCAUGGGACUGAAGGAGAAAGAAUUCCUUUCCUGGUAUUUGAUGGAAUUCUGAGGAGGAAGAAAUCUUUUAAUAACAAACAAAAAGGCAGAAGAAAGUAGGAUUUACAAAUAAAAUGGGGACAAGAGAAGAGCACGGGUCCUUGAUACCAGCAGUACAGUUUGUGCUUUAAUUAAGGCAUAUACAGCAAGUCUUCCUACCACUGCAACCAGAACAAUUAACUGGCCACAAACAACAUGGCUUAUAAAAUCAUAUUGAAACCUAAAAGGAAGAUUUCAGACAAAUCUUCACUUAAAAAAUACUAAAAUAAACUUUAAGAUUUCAAAACAUUAAUCCAAGAAAAAACUUCCAAGAAACUCAAAUUCCAAAUUCCAAAUUCUUACCAAAUUAUCUUAUAAAAGUGCAGAGGCUGCAAAUGAGUAGGCCAGGUUGGGUUUGUUCAGGUCAAAAUUGUUUCAAGUUCAAGUCAUUUUGGGUUCACGAAGACCUGAAUCUUGUGUCAUUUGAUUUUCAGGUUUGGGAUGUUUCAGUCAUUUUGGAUGUGGAUGGUUUUGGGUCAUUUCGAGUUAUAUGUAGCCGUAGUUUAAAUAAAAUAAUUUUUUAACACCAAGAAUGGUUUUGCAUAUCUAAUAAUUUACUUCAAAUUUGAACUCAAUACCAUGUAUCAAGUUUACACAGAACUGAUUAAAACUAUGAAAGUAUUUAACAGCGACCAAAUACUUACAUAAAAAUUACAUGUCCUAACAUGUCAAUUGAUCUAACAAUUGAACAUUAAUUAUACAGAUUGAAUUUUGAAAGAAAAUCAAGGUAAAAAAAUUAUAUAGUAAUUAAAAAAAGAACUAAUAAGCCAAAUAGGUUUCUCAAACAAUGCAAGAUCAAUCAAGCAAUUGGUACAAUAAAGAAGCCGCCAUAAAUUGGAGAGACUUUAUCAAUUUGAAGGUCAUUUAAUGCAUUUUUUUUUUGUUCCUAACUAUUUGUUGAGAGAUUAUGUAUCAAAUCAGGAUCAAUUUCCUGAUUUAUAGGGAUUUAUAAUUCUAGUCUUUUAUUUGUUUCUAUGUUUGGAUGAUUGUGUCUUGAUUUUGUGGGCUUCUUUAUACAUAUCAAUUUCUCUAUAUAUUUGGGGAUUCCUAUUAAUAAAAAAUAUACUCACAGACACUGGUUUUUUGUCUCUGAUUACAUGGUAUCAAAGCAAGGUUUGCUUCUGAAUUUUUUCAUUUUUAAUGGCCAAAACAACCAUGACUGGUGCCUCUCGACGGACUUCUUUCCUCUAGCAGGCUUUUUAUCAUAUCAAAUUACUUAUUCUAUAACCUUCCUCACCCGGGAAUGACUUAGUCAAUGGCUAACUGUUUGCUGGCGGAUUAGCUGGUUGGCAGGUUAGCUUAAUAUCCCACGCUUACUCUUUCUCUAGCACUAAAACUAGCACGCUUACUCCGCCUUACUUAGGAUUCCCUACUCUAGCACCUGGAUUAGCUGUUUUGCUUACUCAAAUAAGGGAUUUGUGGAAAUCUGAUAUUUAUUAUUACUUGAUUAGUUAACUGUGUCUAUUUUAGUUAAAUCUCUUAUUUUUAAAAUAAGUAGUGACUUGGUUAAUUA